RNAcentral lists this long non-coding RNA (81061 nucleotides) under Triticum aestivum (bread wheat). Its description in RNAcentral is "long non-coding RNA (TAES_LNC006421)". Lineage: Eukaryota; Viridiplantae; Streptophyta; Magnoliopsida; Poales; Poaceae. The record is from RNAcentral.
UCAGAUUUGAUGGCCUGAAGUUCAGGAUGGCCAAUACGAACACAAUGCUACGAUUCUGUCGGUCACUGAACUUACCUUGGGAGGAUGCCCUCCUGGUUGUGCAGAAGAUCAAGGGUAGGCUGUAGACAAGAUACAUGUAAGGUUUAUCUUGUUUAAUUUCUUCCGUUUACUAGGCAUGUAAGUGACGUGUGCUAGAGUUAGAGUGCUGUCAGCAUGUGGUUGCAUUUGCAAAAAUUCAAUAAGAAAGUGAGCUGAUCUUAGGGAAAACGGAACUCUCCGUUUUUAUCAAUUGCUUCUAUAUACAUGCGAAAAAUGAAAGGAAUGGCAAUCUACUGCUUCAGUUGUGAUGAUUGUUGUGAGGUAAAAUGUUGCUGCCUCCGUUUCGAAUUAUAAGAUGUUUUAACUUUUUUUCUGAAUCUGAUCUAUAUAGACGCGUUUUAGUAUGUUUGUCCACUCAUUUUUAGUCUGUAUGUAGUCUAUAUUGAAAACAUUGAAAACAUCUUAUAAUCCGAAACGGAGGUAGUACUAAUUUCUCAUCGGAAUUCCAUUGGUUAGUUUUGCCUAAGAUAUAUUUUGACUAUUUUUGUGGAUUUUUUAAACAGAUAAAGGGUAAGUGUUGGAGAGGUGCAAGAAAUGAACAGGAGGAAAAAUGAGAGAAGACGAGAAAACCGAAAAAAAAUAAAGUACCUAAACAUAGAUAAGAAAGCUUAGGAUGGCACUUCAACAAUUUAGUUCCUGCGAUAGUUUCGGUCGUGCAAAUUUAGUUUGAAUAAAAUUUACGGUGAUGUUAUCUGGGGAAUGUCAGCUGGGAAAGGGGUGGCAAGUGAAUGCAUUUUUCUAUCAGUUUUGGUUGUAAAGCGAGAUCAAACGGUGACAGUUUUAGAAGAAAAACGCCCUUCUGUAAAGAAAUUGACAUCGUUGUUCUAAAGAAAGUGCCACCCCUCGUACAACUAAAACCGUCACCAAAACAUUCGCAAAUGCCAACCAGUGAACGUGCAGUAGCUAAGAGGGUCCAUAAAUUUAUUCUUAAUGUAUGUACGCAUAUUUAGUUUAGAAGUGAAUUUGACUAUAAACAAAUUUGGGAAAUGAUUAUGAUCGGCCGGCCAAUCUAGUGUGGAACGUCCGCCGACACGUGGCCUACUGGAACACGCGCACGCCUCAGCAAACUAUGACUGUGCAAGUGCGCGGCGUGGCAAAAAAUGUUGCUAUAAUCUUUGCGAUAUGGGUCUUAUUGCACAAAAUUAGAUGUGGCGGAGGUUUUGCAACAAGAAUCUUGUUGCAGGAAAUUAGAGAAAAGAAAAUUAUGCAAUAAUGGUAUUGUUGCGGGAAACUAGAGAAGAGAAGAUUUUACAACAGAAGUCUUCUUGCAUGAAACUAGAAAAGAUUAUUAGAUGCAUCAUGAAAUUAAUUUUCAUAUGAUAUAAUUUUUUUAUUGUAGAUGUUGAUAUUUUUUCCUACAAAGUUAAAGUUUGACUUUGACCAAAUAUACGGACUAAAUAAAAUGAAGGGAGUGUUUUCAAGCCUCCGGUAGGGUCAUAAAUUUAACAUGUGAAAUUUGGUGGACAUGUUAUGUGUGGGCGGGAUCCGCAUCCUCGAGCCGUCUGAUUUGUUGAUGGAGCCAUCAUAUAGUUUCUUUCAUUUUUUAUCUUUUCUACAACAAGACUCUUGUUGCAAAAUUUUGCAAGACCUUUGUUGCAAAAUCUUUUAUCAAUUUUAUAUUAUGAAUCUUGAUAUCUUCCCCUAAUCCCCUAAUAAUAAUAUAAUACUUUAAUAUUAAUCUCUAUCUCUACCUCUCUACCUCUCUAUCUCUACCUCUCUAUCUCUACCUCUCUACCUGUACCUACUAAUAAACCACGCAUUGCUUCUGGUCAUCCGUCGCGCAUUUUUGCAAAAAAGCCAUUGCACUUUCUAAUAUUCAACCCGCGGUCCCUUAUUAGGUGAGAAAACCCUUCGUUCUGACCAUUGUUUUUGCAAGAAACCCUGUAGUUUCCUGUAUUGAACCCGCGGCCCUUUCAAAGUGAUAAAGCGUUCGACAGCGCGAGGAAGACGCGCGGAUCCGGGCGCGGCGGAUCUGCCGGCCGGUGCGGCGGCUUGCUCCGGUGGCGGCGGCGAUGUCUUGCUCAUCCAGUUAAAGAGAGAGACAGGGUGUGAGGGGGAGAGGAAAGAGAGGAAGGCAUAGAAGGAGAAGUGUCGCAAGAUGAGGGAGGGAUCUCGCGGCUGGUGCGGGGGCUUGCUCGCAGCGGCGUCCGUCUCGUCCAGAGAAAGAGAGAGACAGGGCAUGAGGGAGAGAGGAAAGAGAGGAAGAAAGGAGAAGGAGAAUGGGCGCAAGGUGACGGAGACGGUCGCUGGCGGUGGCGCCUCCGGUGACCGGCCGGCGGCAGGGCGACCUGCACUUGGAGGAGGAGAACUGCGCAAGAUGGAUUCCAGCACCCUCCUACUCAUAUAAUGGUGAGACCUCCUUCCCUCUCUCCCUUCCAGAGCCAUAGGCUAACGACAAGGACAAGUCCCUGCUCGAGAAAACAGCAGGGAGCAACAUGAUUCACGGUCUAGAUUAGAACAACACUGAACUGAUAUAUUUUUUGUAGUACAGGAGCUUCAAGACAAAGGGCAUCAGGCUUCACGGCAACACAUUUAUCUAUAACUUUCUCCCCAAAUCUGAAAGUAUUUGGCCCCUAAAUUCUAAUUCUCAUUAGAAAGUCAGAGUAUUUGUGGAAUAUGGUCUAUGAAUAUUGACAAAUUUGAUUGCAGCAGGGGCGACAAAGUUAGUGCAGUCCUCACCGUGCACAUAUAUUUCAGGGUAAAAUCAAACUUCAGUUAGAAGGACAUGAUCAGGCAGGAGAUUCAUGCAGCAUUGGAUGUGAGAGGCCCUAAAUGCAUUUAGCAUGUGAAAAAAUGUGUUUAAUAUUGUUCCAAGUUGUUACCUUUCGAAAAGAGAACGCAACAGGGAUAAUUUUUUCUUCGAAGCACGAGUUAACCACAAGGAAUCUCCAUGCUUUUGCACCGGGUGUGAAAUCAACUUUGAAAAAUUGACAUGGCUAUUGUUUUUGCUUUUCCUGCUCAAGACAACAAAGGGAUUGUUCAGGCUGAUUUGUGUUUGUGCAGACAGACCUCAAGGAACCUCUGCCGAAGAUUUACGUGGUGAAGGACUCGAACUGUAUCUCACGUCCACUCGGCCACACCUGGGUUGGCUGCCAACAGCCCUCUGAUUGAACAACUGCUCCGUCUAUCCGAGUCUCUGUCGGUCGACUGUUCUUCUCGGACAUCACCAUACAGCUCCUCAGCAGCAAACUCAUGUGCUUCUCCACCAGAAUCAAUUCCCGAGCUGUUGAUAUCCCCUAUUCCUCUAAGGAUAUGCCCAUGGUAAUUUUUUCCACAAGACGAGUGUUGCAGUAUUUGUAUGAACUGGAGUACUGUACUGUUGCAGUAGUGUACAACUGUACAUACAUGGUUUGAAAAUCCUUUCUUUUUCAGUUAUAUAUUAGAAUGGAAUUUGUACGGCUUGGACUGCAUUUUCACAAUCAAUAUGGUGUGUUCAAGUAGUGUAAAUUGUUUAACUUGCUUUUUGGCCAGUAUCCCGAUAUAUGUGGAUGUAUCGUUGCUUUUUACAAUCAAUUUGUAAUGUUGCUUAAUGUACCGUUUGGUCUGCUUUUUUGGUCUGUAUCCCUGAAUCGACGCCCUUAAGCUCCUGUUGAUUUCUAUAAUUCAUGAGCACAUAUGAGCAUCAAAAGAAAAUAUCCCAUGAUGAAACGUGAGCAAGUCUUGGUGAAUGAACUGAUAUUUUCAUGCAUUACAGGUGAAGCAAAAAAAAAUCAAGCUUUAUAAGCUCCGCGGCCUCAAGGCCAAUCCCCAGGUUGAUGCCACCGCUACUGACUUUGCCACAUCCCUAUUACAGUUUAAUUUUUAAUUUAUUAGAGAAACUGGAUCAGUGCUUGGGGCUGGUGUGCUACGGUUGGUUUAGGCAUGUGUCCAACAAGGCGGCGGCCACUAUAAGAUACUCUCCUGAGUUAGGACGGGUUUCGAAUUUGCUGCUAUUAUGAGAAAAAAUAAGAGAGAAAGGAAUGUGAUUUUUGCUGCUACUAUAUGAUGCUUUGUUGUUACUGUUUUCUGUUUAUUGUAUCGACUGUUUGUCGUGUGAACUACCCAUCAGAUUUAGGCUCGGAUGAUUCAGAUAGGAUGGAAGAUGCGUAGGAAUCGUCUGUGACAUUCUCAAUGAAUUCGAUCCCUCGCCGGCGAGCUUCAUCAUGUAAGACCUUUAGUAAUUUCAUUCAAAUUUAUCUAGCAACAAUUGCAUGACUCUAGACCUGAACAAUUGCACCCUAUGAAAAAAAGAUUACACACAAUGUGGGGUUGGUGUAGAUGAGACAGGGGUGGGCCAACAAUCAUUACAGGUCGGUCGACCUGCCACAGGACCGGACAUGUUCGAGAAAACUCAAUCCGAUGGCCGCAUGUGUCGUGUCUUCUCUUUCGACCUAACUUGUUAUGUGGACGUAGUUGGAUUUUUAUUUAGCUAAUCUGUGCUUGCUGAAAUUCUCAUAUGAUGCAUGCGUUCAUGGAUGAGAAUGUGGAUUAAUUGAUAAAUUCAAUGAAGAGUAUAUAGGGGAAGAAUGUUUUAUAAGAUACGAGCCUUCUUUCCCUAAGGGUUGCUUGGUAUUUCUGCUUUUUAAUAUUGAUAACAUAGGUGCAUAUUCUUCUUAAAUCUGAAACAUAUGUGAUCUUAAAUUGUUUUGCAUAAUCUAGAAUUUAGUUCAUGGGCUCAGUUUGUACUUCGCCGUUCUGGUGAGAAUAAGAGGUAUUUUUAACUAUAUACUCACAUAUAUUUGAGAUAAACAUGGGAUUGUCAAAGUAGUCAUGUAAAGCAGUGGUUACUCAAUACAGUGGAUAGUAAAAGUUCGUUUACACCGAUAUUAAGGAUGGUACAUGCAUCAAGUGUAGAUGAUACAAGGAUAGUGCCCACAAUCAUUACAAGUCCGUCAAUAGACGAGGCUGCAGGAAAGAGCUCGCGAAAGUAGUGUGCUAAGUGUUAUUACCAAGCUCGUCACCUUAGGAUUCAUCAUUCAUCGUGAAUAGGCGGACAACUUGACCACCAUCGGCGGUAGUGAUGAGGAGGAAAAGCCGCAACGCUGAUGGAGCGCUAGGGACAUGUCAUGAUUUAUUUUUCCCGUGGCAACGCACGGGCUCUUUUGCUAGUAUAUAUAUAUAUAAUAAUAAUAAUAAUAAUAAUAAUAUAAUAAUAAUAAUAAUAAUAAACCGCGCAUUGCUUCUGGUCGUACGUCACACAUUUUUUCAAAAAAGCCCUUGUGUUUUCAGUAAUUAAACCCGCCAUCCUAUUUUAAGUGGAUUAUAGGAGAAAACGUUUCGCUUAUGCAAAUAACACCCUGUAAUUUGGUAUUAUUCAACGUCAGUCCGGUGAGGAAAACAGAGAUGCAGACGGGAUAGAGUGAAUGCAAAGAGUAGUCCCGUUCACUGUCGCUCCCGCCGGCGACGACUGGCUUGCCCACGCGGCGGCCCACGCGAGCAAGGCCAAGGGACGGCCCAGACGGUCGAUGGUGGCGCUGUCAUCGUUGUCCUCACGCAUGUAGACGAGGCAGUGGGGAGGGUGCCGGCGCUGGUCGCAGGGGAGGCCGAAGGGCGUGGACAAGCCAGAUCCGGGACGCAGGACGGACACCGGCGGCUUGGGGACAUGGAUCCCGCAGAUCUGAGCAGCGGCUGGCGAACUCGGAGGCGGCGGUGGCGUGAAGACAACCGUGGUGGUGGUGGCAGCAGCGGCGAGGCUCCUUGCGUGCUCCUUCUCAUGGACAAGGGAAAAGAGAAAGAACUGAGAGGCAGAGGAGAGAGAAACGAGGGAGGAGGAGAGGCGCGUUGGAGCUCCGGUAGCGGGCGGCGUGCACGAUGGAUCGGGUGCUAAGAAAAGAAGGGAAUCGGGGAUGGGGAGAAGAAAGGUGUGGGGAAGAGACGAGAGGAUGAGAGGAGGGGGCUGAGAAGAUAAGGUCGGAGGGAAGAGCGGCCAAACGACACGCGUUGCCUGUGUGUGAGACGGCUGGUGCCCAAGCGCGGGCUGGAGACUCAAGGCUUGAUUCUCGCCAUGCAAAAAACGAGAUUAAAGAAAGAAGUUAACUAACUUAGGAGGAAUUAGCUAGAAAAAGGAUUUUUUUUAACGAGAAAGCUACAAAAGGAUUAAAUGCUUGAUUAUGGCCGUUGCAUUCAUCUGUUUGCUUCUCCGUAUCUACAUGCACAAUUGCACACGAUUGACGAGCUUGGUUCUACAUUUCCUUUUCAUCUCGACGAAGUUGGAUACAUGCACAGGAUUGAUGGUUUUUGUUCCAUUUUUUUUUCUUCUUUUAUUUUCUUGAUUAAAAUUUUCAAUCAUUCGUACCCAUUGUAACCCCAUCUGUUUGUGUUGACAAAAUAAUCUCUGAGCGCUGCUGAUUUCGGUUCAUACGAGUGCAUUUUAUGUCAGACAUUAUAAUUUUCGUGAGUUUUUGUUGUUCAUCCGUUGCAACGCACGGGCCUUUUGCUAAUUUUUUUUAAUAAAUUUAGCGAGGAAGUACAUGUACGCGCAUUACGUAUUCUAGGUUCGAAGGCGGAAAUUAACGAAGACGUAAACCUGCCAGUUUCCCACCUCCCUCCCCCCACGGCCCCACCCCACGGAAACGCUCUGGUCCGUCGCCGGAGAGGCGGAGAUGGAGAACGCGGUGGUGCUCCGGGAGUGGUUCGACCGCGUCGACGCCGCCGGCACCGGCAACAUCACGGCUCCUCAGCUCCAGGUUCUCCUUAUCCCCUCGCCCCCCCUACUCGGAAGUGCCGGCGACCAGAAUUCGACCACUAACCCGGAAAUCCGCUCUCCUCCCGCCAGAGCGCGCUCGCCGUGGGCAACCUCGACUUCCCCCUCUCCGUCGUGCAGCAGAUGAUCAGGUCCUCCUCCACCUCCUCUGGCCGCCGGGGCUUUCAGCUUGUGCGCUCUGUCUAAUUUAUCCGAUGACUCGAGCUCAUUUGGGGAUUGGGAGGGUCAAUGAUGUCUGUACUGUACUGUGCAGGAUGUAUGACUUCGAUCGGAACGGCACCAUGAGCUUCGAAGGUUAGCCGCUCAUAUCCGCAUGAACUCUGCUACUCUAGGGAAAGUUGACCAUUGACUCCAUGCUGUGAUCACUUGGAAAGAUGAUCUGAUUUUGACCUCGCUUGCUGUAUCCCUUUGUACUUUGCAGAGUUUUUGGCUCUUAACAAGUUCCUUCAGAAGGUACUCCCUCCUUCCAUCUAUAUAGGGCCUAAUCAUUUUUCGAGGCUAACUUUGACCAAGUGUUAUAGUGAUAAUAUAUGACAUGCAAGUUACACAAAGCAUACAGUCAAAUUCGUACGUGAAAGGAGCUUCCAAUGAUAUAAUUUUCACAUUAUACAUUUCAUGUAUUAUUAGUCUUAUGAAUAGUCAAAGGCGGUCUUGAAAAACACAUUAGGCCCUAUAUAGAUGGAAGGAGGGAGUAUGUGGGGUCUCCAUUUCGAUCUGCUCGGCAUUCAGGAUUAGUCACUGGCAUGCACAUUUGUUUUUCCUUGUCGAAAAAUUGAUAGUAUUGUGGCCAUGGCAUUUGAAGUUUGGUUAAAUGAAUUGUUAAGUAAGUUGGCCUGCUAUUCUGUAUAAUAUAUGUUACACUACAUUUGAGAGGAGUGAGCUUCACUGUAAUGCAUUCCUAUUUCCAUGCUUCCUGUUUGACUUGAUCGUUUAUAUGCACUGCUCCUUUUCAAUUUGCAGGUGCAGGGUGUCUUCUCCACCCUAGAAAGGUAUCAUGUCUCAUGAGUUUGUAGCCAUGUGCGGCAUUCAUAAAUUGUUCAAAUGCCACCCUAAACUUUGUUACAGUUUGUAUUUUUCUUGACUUUAGGUGUUCAGUUUGUUUGUGCGUGUGUUUUCAGAUAUCAUUCUUGUACUUUUCUUAUCCUCUCCUUAAUUUCAGGGGUCGUGGAUUUCUCAGCCUUGAGGAUGUGUAUGAGGUGAUAUGUUAAUUUCUCUAGUUUUGAGAUGUACUGUCAACUGUGUCCCAUAUGAGCAACAUUACAUGGAUUUUUUUUAAUUCCCUCCAUGUUCUAUACAGGCACUAAUCAAACUCGGUUUCUCGUUGGAUUCACCUGCCUUCUACACUGUCUGUGAGGUACUUCACUUUCACUGCUACUGCAUGGUUUAUCCUAGGAUUAUUCAUGUCUAGCUUUAGAGGCUCUCCCAGAAGGCAUCAUGAGCUUGUGAUUAACUAUUGCAGUGAUACAUUUGAAGGGUGAACCUGUCCAAAUUUAAAACUUGAGAUGUUAUUUAUCCUAAGAUGCCUUUUCUUGCAAAUUGGAGCAUCUAGGUGUAAAACUAGUGUUCGUCGAUCGCCCGUUGUUGCUGUUCAGAAAACCAGUGUUGGUCGUUGAAGUACUAAGAUGAGUUAUAUGAUCAUGGGUUUUCAUAUUUGAGCUUGAAAUGGGUCAUGCAACUGAGAAAAUGUAGGUGGAAACUGAAGUCAACAGUGAAUAUAAAAUGAAGAAUAUGCAGUAUAUCCCUGUAAAAAAAAACUUGCAGUAUGACAGAACUUGAGAAAAUGCUACUUCAGCAUUCUUUACUUCAUUCGUCCGAUCAUAUCCAUUUCCUAGCUACGCAGCCUAGAGCCCUUUGCUAGUACUAGCUGCAUUUGUGCUUCUUAUUCUUUACUUCAUUUUGUUUAGCUAAUUUCAUACCUGUCUAUUCUCAGAGCUUCGACAAGAGCAAGAAGGGGAUGGUUCGUUUGGAUGAGUUCAUAUCGAUCUGCAUCUUUGUGCAGUCAGCUCGGUACGCACAACAUGUUUCCGACGUGCUUUUCAAUGUUUCACAGUACACAGCUGUUGGACAUCUUCUACUUUGCAACUAAAACCUAAUUGUAGACUGGUCUGUGGUUACUUGAUUUACAUUUGAAUAACAAGGAACAUUUUGCAGAAUUGUGUUCCGUGAUUUGUCUCUCCCAAAGUGCCAUGUGCUAAAUUUUACUCCCAAUUACUGAUGAAACAUUUUCUCGCUUUCCAGUAACUUGUUCAGCUCAUUUGACACAACCAAGCAAGGGAAAGUGACAUUGGAUUUCAACCAGUUCGUCUACUGCAGUGAGUUUCCGCCCCCCUCUAUCUACCGAACUGCUUAUAUCUCAUGCUCGUCAGAGUCUAGACAACCUUAUAUAUUCCUCAAAGACGGAUGGAAGGUUUUACCGCCCUUGUUCACUAACUUGCAUCUUUCUGCAUAAUCUACAGCGGCGAACUGCAGGAUAUAGCUGUAUUACCUGAAACCUGUACAUGGAAGACCAAAAAGGAAAUGCCACCCUUCACCGGAACCACAUGCCAAAGAAUGUUCUGGUGGCACAUACAUUUGGAAGUCCAAAUUCCAAGCCAUCAUUUGGUUUAUAUUCCUAGUGUUCCUCAGAUAUUUUGUGAUUUUAAUGCCAUCCAGGUCUGUAUACACACACACAAAGAAAAUAAAAAAAAAUGCUUAUGCAUGACUGUAUGCUUUGUGAUUCUGCAUCUGGAAACCCAGGAACUGUACCAUGUUUGGAUUAUUAUUCUCCCACUUUCUUGUCCCCCCCUAUCCUGCAUGAGUUCCAGGGGGAGUUGACCAUUGGUUCCUCCAUGACGUGAUCACUUGAAAUGAUGUUUUUUUAGAAAAGGACUUGAAAUGAUGAUUUGAAUUAUUAUCAGUAUAUAUUUUGGUUGGUAUCCAUAAUAUAAGAGCGUUUUUGACACUACAUUAGUAUACGGCCAGCCAUGUCUGACAUCCAUAAAGUGUUCUAGUGCCAUGCUCUCUGUCUGAAGCAAUUUCUUCUACAAAGGCCUAGAAAAGCCCAUCUGGCUACCGUGUCAAAGUCAAACUCUCGCCCUCCCCCAAACCCCACAAAAAAACAAAACCCCGCUCGAUCGCUCCCCCCAUCCCCAGCCAUUCUCCGGCGAACCCGCCCCGUCCGCCGUGCUUCGGUAGAUAGAUGGAGGCCCUGGCGGAGACGGGGAGCGGCGGCCAUCUGGUGCCUCUCCUCGACGGCGGCGGCGGCGGCGGCCUGGACGCGGCCCUCCUCCGCCGCCUCUACGCCGGUCACUUCCUCGCCAGAUGGGGCGCACGGUACGUACUACGGGCCUUUCCCUUAUCGGUUCGGCGAUUAAUCCCAUCCCACCCUCAUUCGAUCGCAUUCGCGUCGCGUCGCAGCAUGUGGGAGUUCUCGGUGGGGCUGUACAUGAUCCGCGUCUGGCCGGGCUCGCUGCUCUUCGCCGCCGUCUACGGCGUCGUCGAGUCCGCCUCCGUCGCCGUCUUCGGCCCCAUGGUCGGCACCCUGGUCGACAGCCUCACGUACCUCCAGGUUGUUCAACGCUCUCUUUCACUCUCUGUUUCCAGAAGAUCACGAGAAAUUGCUCAUUGAACCUAUGACUAGAAACAGGGCAUCUCAACAAGUUCUCUUUCCCGUGUAAAAAGCUGUUUUAAGGGGAUUUCGGCAAACAAGAAAAAAGAAACUACCCCAAUAGAUCUCGUAAACGCGAUUUUUUUGGGGGACCUCGUAGAAUCAGCCCAUGUGAGCGUAGAUUGCAGCGGAAACGAUCAAAACAACGAGCUAUUUGUUGAUAUGCAUUUCAGCAAACACCUUGUGUGCAUGCAGGAAAUCUGAGCCAUAUCAUGAAAUCCACAAGCACCAAGCUAUGCAAUGUUUACCACAACAAUAUACUUGCAAGAGCAGCUCGGUACAAUAUCAAUACCCCAACAUAAUCAUCAUCUUAUCAAAUAACCCAUGUAUGUCAUGCCCCCAAUAACUAUAUUUAAUAACCAAGUAAUAAAUCAAUCAUGAAUAGGGAUUACUAAAUAAUUGAGAAUGUUAGGUUUCAUGUAAACUAUGUUAGAGUGUGCUUGGAUACGUUUUAGUCUCAUGACUAAAAGUAGUGGGACUAAAACUUGCUAGCCUUACUCAUGCUUGGAUCCAAAUACUAAAAAGACUAAAAUCAAGUUAAUGAGCAUUUAUUAUCCUCCAAACCCUUCAAUCCAGAACUCGCCUGUGUUAAAGGAGAGGAGUUAAAUAAGGAGAGAGAAGACUAAUCCACAUUUUAGUAGGGGUACCCCCGACUAAAACAUUUUAGUCUCAAGACUAGUUUUAGCCCCUCUUUAGUCAGGGUGCUUGGAACUUUAGCCUCUUAAAGAAGUCUAAUUAAAAAUAGUCUCUUUAAGAGGCUAAAGUUCCAAGCACCCUGACUAAAGAGGGGCUAAAACUAGUCUUGAGACUAAAUUUUUUUAGUCGGGGAUACCCCUACUAAAAUGUGGAUUAGUCAUCUUUCUCCUCAUUUAAUUUCUCUCUUUUAACACAUGCGAGUUCUGGAUUGGAGGCUUUGGAGAAUAAUAAAUACUCAUUAACUUAAUUUUAGUCUCUUUAAUAUUUGGAUUCAAGCAUGGAUAAAGCUAGCAAGUUUUAGUCCCACUACUUUUAGUCAUGAGACUAAAACGUAUCCAAGCACCCUCUAAAAUAAGUCUCUUGGAUCCAAACACCCUCUUAAUAAAAAAAUUAAGAUAAAUAAUUUGGGAUGGAGGGAGUACAAGUUAGUCCUCCACAUUGUAAAAACUGUCUCGAAUAUAUUACUUAUCAUAACAAUGGUAUUAUGAAACAACUAUCUUGGAUAUAAACUAAUUAUGUAAAACUGUGACUCUGAUAUACCUCAUAUAUAUGUGAAUGUUUUACAGAACUGUCUUGGAUGAGCAGUAAGGAUGGGCUGACGAAGAGGAAUUUCUUAAUCAUGAUUAGCAGUCGCCAGUGACUUAAUAUACAUGGCAAAAUGCAGUUUUUGGGCCUGUGGCUGCUAGUUCAAAGCUUAUCCUUCAUCGUUGCUGGAGUCUCGGUAACCGCGCUGCUGGUCUACGAUGACCUGAAAGUGACGAGCUUCCCCGUCUUCGUGGCUCUAGUCGUGGUCACCAACGUGUCAGGCGCGCUCGCGGCGCUCUCGACUCUCGCCGGAACCAUACUGAUCGAGAGAGAAUGGUACACAAUUCCGUUCGACACCCACAACUUAACUAAGGGCUUUGAUUCAAAAGAAUUUCAUAGAAUUUUCGGAGGGUUAGAAUCCUUAGAAAUUUUUCCUUCAUUGGUCGUUUGAUUCAUAAGAUUGAAUCAUAUAGGAAUUUCUCCUACGGAAUCAUGUGUACUACAUUUUAUUGGAAAUCUAGCAUUCACUCAAACCUUUUUUCUCACUUUCUUUGUUUUUUCUAUGUCAUCAAACACUCUGUGCUAAUCCUAUGAGAUUCAAGUGGGCAUGCCAUUCCAAUUCUUUAUUUUUCUUAUUCCCGCGUUUUGAGAAUCCUAUGAAUCAAAGAGGGCCUAACUGUAUUAGUUGUACGUACGUGUUGUUGUUAGAACUUGAUGGCCGCGACGAUGCAUGCAGGGUGGUGGUGAUGUGCGGCGGGCAUCCGCCGGCGGCGCUGACCCGAACCAACUCGGCGAUCCGGAGGAUCGACCUGAGCUGCAAGCUUCUGGCGCCGGUGCUGUCGGGGUUCGUGAUCAGCUUCGUGUCCACGCAGGCCUCUGCGGUGGCGCUGGCGCUGUGGAACGUCGCCUCGGUGUGGCUGGUGUACUGGCUCUUCGUGUCGGUGUACAACAGCGUGCCCGCUCUCGGCGCCAACAGCCUGGCAAGGGACGCGGCGGCCUCGGCGCCGGAGGCCGACGAGGCGGUGCAGGGUUACUCCCAGGACGCGUCGUCAGAUUGGAGCGAGAGACUGACGGCGCGGCUCUCCGUCCUGCCCUGCUGGGAGUCCUGGGCCGUGUACGCGAGGCAGGAGGUGGUGCUGCCGGGUGUUGCUCUCGCCAUACUCUACUUCUCCGUGCUAAGGCAAUUCAUUAAGCUGCAUGAUGAGUUUUUUUACCCAAUUUGAUGCACGGAUUCAGCAAUAACUUGGUACAAUUUAUUGGACCUUGAUCUUGUUUCCGUUGCUGCUGCAGCUUUGGCACGCUGAUGACGGCGACGCUGGACUGGGAGGGCAUCCCGGCGUACGUGACCAGCCUGGCCCGGGGGUUCAGCGCCAUGGUGGGCAUCGCGGCGACGGUGGUGUACCCGGCCGCGCACGCGCGGCUGUCCACGCUCCGGACGGGGCUCUGGUCCAUCUGGACGCAGUGGUGCUGCCUGCUGCUCUGCGUCGGCUCCGUCUGGGUGGGCGGCCGCGUGGCGUCGGCGUGGGUGCUCAUGGCCGGCGUUGCCGCCUCGCGCCUCGGCCUCUGGAUGUUCGACCUGGCCGUCACGCAGUUGAUGCAGGACGGCGUGCCCGACGCGGACCGGUGCGCCGUCGGAGGCGUCCAGAGCUCGCUGCAGUCCGUGUUCGACCUGCUCACCUACGUCAUGGGCAUCAUCAUCUCCGACCCCAGGGUACGCACGCGGUUCACUCGUGUCUUUUGUUUCGGUCAGUUGUGUUGCCAAACGGCGAGACGAGUAUGACUUUGGUGAAUGCUGAUGAUGAUCUCCGUGUGCAACCAAAUUAUUACAGGAUUUCGGCGAGCUCAUCGCGCUCUCCUUCUUGCUGGUGACCUGCGCUGCGGCCAUGUACACGCUGCACGUGUACCGCGUACGCAAGCACCUGUUCCACCUUGACAAGAUCUUCGCCAAGAUGCAAUAGUCAUGAUCUUUGCUUCUCGUGGGUGGGCGUUAGCGUUGACUAUGCUCAUUCUAACUAUGCAGAGGUUGGGUGUGUACUCAUUAUAAUUAUAUCACUCGAUGCUACAGUAUGAGUCGAUAAAAGACGCCUGAAAAAAAGAAAAGAAAGUGAGAACAUGCGUGUGCAUGACUCUAGGAUUUGUAGUUUUGUAGUAGUAUAUGAACACCAUGGUUGAGAGUGCAUUUUCUAUCAUGCACGGUACAUACCGUGCAUUGUCUACAGGGUGGGAAAGCUGGGAAAGCUAUCAUACUAGUGUACUAAUCACCUGCUGUACGUCUCACUUCUGUCAUAUGGUCAGUUUGUAUGUCAGCCUUUUUGUNNNNNNNNNNNNNNNNNNNNNNNNNNNNNNNNNNNNNNNNNNNNNNNNNNNNNNNNNNNNNNNNNNNNNNNNNNNNNNNNNNNNNNNNNNNNNNNNNNNNNNNNNNNNNNNNNNNNNNNNNNNNNNNNNNNNNNNNNNNNNNNNNNNNNNNNNNNNNNNNNNNNNNNNNNNNNNNNNNNNNNNNNNNNNNNNNNNNNNNNNNNNNNNNNNNNNNNNNNNNNNNNNNNNNNNNNNNNNNNNNNNNNNNNNNNNNNNNNNNNNNNNNNNNNNNNNNNNNNNNNNNNNNNNNNNNNNNNNNNNNNNNNNNNNNNNNNNNNNNNNNNNNNNNNNNNNNNNNNNNNNNNNNNNNNNNNNNNNNNNNNNNNNNNNNNNNNNNNNNNNNNNNNAUGAGAACAUGCAUGCAAUAAGUUUCUUUUAUAUUCUUCUCCCCUAUCCCCUUGAUAUCUUCUGAAAUAAAAGUUUCUUUUAUAUUCUAUUUAGACAAAUGUUUUCAUACCAAUGAUAUAUUUUAAACAAGACUUGUAGAAAACUUAUCUAUGUACCAUGAGUUUUUGUGCUCAUCAAAUUGAUCUAUAGAAAACUUGAUGAAACUUGGUACAUAGUUUUUCUUACAGUUUCGUAAGGUCUCGCCAUGUUUCAGAUUCGAAUUUUAAAACUUGUCAAAAUAUAUUCGACGGUGAUCUUAUUUUCAAGUUCCCUUCAAAAGGAACACAAAUAAGCAAAUGUAUCGUAAAUCAAACUAAUGGUUCACAAGAUAAAAUAAAUUUAAAUUUUAGAAUCAUACUCUCAUAUAAAAAUAAGGCAUGAGUGAGUGUAGUACUGUUGGUAUUUACUUCGGGGGUGAGAGGAGAGAUAUUGCAGGUUACUAUAGUAAAAAGUUGUCUGCACGUGGAGAAAAAGUGACAGGUUGACAGGGUCAUAAAUUAUGGUUUACUAAACAGUACAAUGAGAACAUGCAUGCAUGGAUCCGAAUCUUAAAGAGAGUGAGUGGCUGAUAGAUGCAAGGUAUAUAUCAUGCAUGGGAGAAUGUCUUUUCUCCACCAUGGUUGGAUUAUUCUCCCACUUUCUUGUUCUCUGGAUUUCAGUAUUUUCUUCUGCAGUGAGAAUUCCCGCCAUCAUCCCAUAGCAAGGUUGAAUGGAAAUUUAAAAGAAAAAAAACAGUGUUAUUUGAUGGGCCCAGCCUUCUUUCCAUUAGUGUAUGGAUCAAAUGCAAGGUCCAGUAAGCAAGCUCAGCUGAGAAGUGUGGCCCACAGAACAGUCGUGAGAGCUGAGAGGUCAGGCGAGCUCUCACCACUCACCUCCGUCUCCGGCCAUGGCGACCAUCUCGGCAGCUCUCUCCGUCUCCCUCCUCCCGCCCGCUGCCCGCCGCGCCGUCUCCACCGCCACUUCCUCCUCCCCGCCGCGCGUCAAGGUAUAGACACACCCACCAGCCGCACUUUCGAGCGCCCUCGCCGCGUCCUCUGAUUCCGUGGUCCACGCAGAGAGCCGCGCGGUUCAGGUGCUGCGCCGAGCCUCCUUCCCCGCAGCAGCAGGAGACCCCCGCGCCGCUGCCCUCCCCGCCGGAAUUGCCUUCGUCCCUGUGGGGCGUCUCCACGAGCGCCUGGACCGCGGGCGUCGCGGGGCUGGGGCUCCUGGAGACCGGCUACCUCAGCUACCUCAAGCUCACGGGCUCCGAGGCCUUCUGCCCCGUCUCCGGGGGAGGCUGCGGCGACGUGCUCGACAGCGACUACUCCGUCGUCUUCGGUAGUUUCCUCGCCCACAGCCCCACUGCUCAUGGGAUUGAGGGCUAGUUCUGAAAAUUGUACUGCUUUCAUUAUGCUUGCAUUGUCAGUAUGUAGGUAGGAUUGUAUGUUGAUAACUUAGCGACAUUCGAGAUCCGGUGCCCAUUAUAUUUCAAAUGUUGCGCAUGGUUGCAGAUUCAGAAUUUAUACAACUAUGUAUGAAUUUCCCUUUUAUCAUUCUGCCGUGGUGUGUGUGCUAAGAUACACUUUCACAUAAUACAGUGCUAUGGAUGCUCAUAGGUAACAAUUGGUAUGUCUUAAUUCUGUAGGGAUCCCUCUUUCAUUAGUUGGUAUGGUGACAUAUGGUGUGGUGACUGCACUUUCUCUGCAAGAAAACGGAGAGGAGUUACUCCCUGGACUUGAUGACUUGGAUAUCCGCCUAACCUUGCUUCUGCUUGCUACUUCACUGGCGACUGCGAGCGCUUAUUUUCUUUUCAUCCUGAACACCAAAUUUGUCGGGACGUCUUGCUUAUACUGCCUAUCAUCAGCAUUUAUCUCCUUCACAUUAUUUUUCAUCAGACUAAAGGUGUGUGCUUUUCUUAAACAUAUCAGUGUGUUCCUCUUCUUCAUUUAGACCUUUUGAUAAUCAAGUAGCCCAUCCAACUAACCUUGUGCUCCACGGAAUUGUUGCAGGACAUUGGCUUGGCACGUAUCCAGAAGUUUGUUGGUCUUCAGUUAGCUGUAGCUGUCAUUGUUGCUCUUGCUUUAACAAACUCAUAUAGUUCAGCUACUACUCAGUUAAAGGGGUGAGACUUCCUCUCACAUUGGUUAUAAACGUUGAAUGAUGGGAUUGCCUCAGCAGAAAUACAAAUUAUAAGGCGUCUUUUUUUGCCAUUUACUUGAAGUUUCAUCGAACGUGCAGCAAAACGUUACAUUUUACUCUCUAUUAUGGUUGUAUGUUUCAUAUCCCAUAGUGAUUUUCUCUUCCGGACAACCAUUUUACUUUUCCUUUUUUACUUAGGAACCAGCCAUUUUGAUUUGAGGUCAAUGUGAAUUUUAGUCUACAUAGUUCGUUUCCUUUAAGAUCAUCACAAGUGACUAAUAGACUUUCCUUUUUCCUUCAUUUUAUGCAGCACAGGUGAUUUCGUAUUAGAACCAUACAAAACAGAGGUAACAUCAGAAUCAACCCCUUUUGCUAUUUCACUGGCAAGACAUCUACAUUCUAUAGGUGCUAAGAUGUAUGGAGCAUUCUGGUGUACUCACUGCAAUGACCAAAAACAAGUACGAGUUCUUUCAUCUUCCUUGAAUCAACAGCUUUUAAUAGUUACUACCACAGGACCUGAUUGUUGCUGUGCUAGAUCUCCAAAAAUGAAGUAGAGCAAAAUCAAUCAAGACCUACUUUAUAAUUCUUAGCAUAUAUGGUCAUGCAGUUGUUUGGUCGUGAAGCUAUGGAAAUUCUGGAUUAUGUGGAAUGCUUCCCUAAUGGAGCCGGUAAGGGGAAGAAAAUGGCCAACGAAUGUGUAGCCACUGGUCUGGAAGGUUUUCCAACAUGGGUCAUCAACGGGAAGGUACUCCCCAUAACUUGGAUGUUUCCAUUAAAGUUCAAGUUCAUGAUGACACCCAUUCAGCGUUUUAUGUUGAGGCACGAUUUAAGUUCUCGGUGCACAUGUGCAUUUCUGCCAGUAUUGGGCACACACUGAAUCUGCAGCUUAUCCUCGGAUGACAUCCUCUGUUUUACUUCGCAGUUGCACGCAUCUAGCUUUAGUUUUCCACAUAUGAUGUUGUCGGUCACUACACUACGUCAUGGCUUGCCCAUGCUUCCUAAGAUGAUGAAAGCACUAUGCUUCCUAUGUGUUCACGAACUGACUAUGUACCUUCCUUCCACUCAGCUCCUGAGCGGCGACCAGGAACUCUCAGUCCUCGCAGAAGAAUCCGGUUUUGUUUCCGAGAGCCCCGAGCAAUCCUGAGGCCAUGGACCUCGACGAGCAGAAGCACCCCACUGAUUCGAAGUGCGGAAAUCGAGAGCUCUCUAGAGGCAAGAACCUGAAGCUUGUGGUAGUUAACAGCAAUGCCACAAAAAUCUCGGCCGAGCUUCAGAUGAGGUGCAUUCCAAUGGUGCAUAAGUAGAUUAUACAACUAAAUACAACCACUAACCACUGUAAUACUAUGUAAAAAACUAAACCUAUUUGUCCUCUCAUCGAAUGGGGCUGAAGGAGAGCAUCGAAUCCGGGGCAAAUUAUACUACGACCUUUUUGUAGAGCCUGUAGUUUUUUUUUUUUUUGAUAAAAGAAGGGCUUCCCCCUUCCGAUUUUCAUUAAUGAAAACCUAAGCAUCCACACUAGACAAGCUACGACAGGAAGCAAACGCGAAAAGAGCUUGUAGUUUGUGCUGUAAAACUUGUAAUCCUGGAAAACCACAAGGUUUUCGUAGUAAUUCUUUGCACUUGGACAUUUGCAGUCCUGGGGAAGUACACUCUGUGUGCCCUCCACCCUUUGAAACGAAGGGUUUCUGCUCUCUGGGAGCAUAUGGGAAUUCCUGAGCUCAGCAACGUCGAUAGUUGAGCCAUUGAUACUUUCUUGGUAAAACUGAAUUUCUGCCUGAUUUGUGCAGAAAGCCAGAAACGCAAGGAAAUGGUCUAAUUCUUGCAGCAACUGAGGCAAAAGCCGUCUCCCUUCCCCAAAACAUAUGGAUAUGCGAAUUCACUCGUGUCUCUGGGAAAAAUAUGUGAGCGUGUAAAGCGUGCAUACUCAUGUUUCUGGCAAAAGGAGAAAUAAAGACUUAAUGAUCUUUAUUUAUAGCUCAAGAAAUUCGACAUAUGCACUCCGGGGUUGCGGAAGAUGUAGAGAGAGGGAGGGAGGGAGCAUGGCACACUUGGGGGUUUCAGAAAAAGAAAACUGAACGGAGAAAACUAUAGGAUUUAUUAGAAAAGUUUUGAAGGAUUGUGAAAAGCAUGGCACAAAUGCACUGUGGCGCUUUAUUCAGCAGAAACCUUUAUUUUUCUUGCUUUAUUAAGGUUAUUUUCUGCAGAAGAGACAUACACAGCUGGUGCUGCCCUCCGACCUCCAGCACGUUUUUUGUUUGACACGGGUGCCGAUGACUUGCUGAAAGAAUCGAGAAGAGGUGUCUAGAGGGGGGGAGGGGGUUGAAUAGACUUUAAUCAAGAAAAGUUGCAGUUUUUAAUUCUUUAGGUUCAUAUGGAGUAUUAGCACAAGUUUAAACAUUCACAAUACAUAUCAAGCAAGCAUGCAAGCAUACAAAGAGUAUAUGAGCAGCGGAAUGUAAAACAAUUGCAUAUGAAGGUAAAGGGAGGAGUUUGAGGGAGCAAACACAAUGUUGACACGGAGAUUUUUGGCGUGGUUCCGAUAGGUGGUGCUAUUGUACAUCCACGUUGAUGGAGACUUCAACCCACGAAGGGUAACGAUUGCGCGAGUCCACGGAGGGCUUCACCAGCGAAGGGUCCACGAAGAAGCAACCUUGUCUAUCCCACCAUGGCCGUCACCCAUGAAGGACUUGCCUCACUAGGGUAGAUCUUCACGAAGUAGGCGAUCUCCUUGCCCUUACAAACUCCUUGGUUCAACUCCACAAUCUUGUCGAAGACUCCCAAGUGACACCUAGCCAAUCUAGGAGACACCACUCUCCAAGAAGUAACAAAUGGUGUGUUGAUGAUGAACUCCUUGCUCUUGUGCUUCAAAUGAUAGUCUCCCCAACACUCAACUCUCUCUCAUAGGAUUGGAUUUGGUAGAAAGAAGAUUUGAGUGGAAAGCAACUUGGGGAAGGCUAGAGAUCAAGAUUUAUGUGGUUGGAAUGAAAUAUCUUGACCUCAGCACAAGUGUAGGUGGUUCUCUCUCAGAAAAUAUGUAUUGGAAGUGUAGGCAUGUUCUGAUGGCUCUCUCCUCGAAUGAAGAGUGGGUGGAGGGGUAUUUAUAGCCUCCACACAAAAUCUAACCCUUACACACAAAUCACCAAACUCAGUGGGACCGAAUCAUGAAACUCGGUCAGACCGAUUUAGUUCAAAAUGUGAACGCUGGGAUUCUCGGUGGGACCGACAUGUCAACUCGGUGGGACCGAUUUUGUUAGGGUUAGGGCAUAAAGUAAUCUCGGUGAGACCGAUUUUGGUAAUGGACUAACAGAGAGUUGGUCAGGUAAACUCGGUGGGACCGAUUCGCUCAUCUCGGUUGGACCGAAGUGUUACGAAAGGGAAACAGAGAGUUUACAUUGCAAUCUCGGUGGGACCGAUCGCUCAUCUCGGUUUGACCGAAACGUUACGAAGGGAAACAGAGAGAUUACAAUCCCAUCUCGGUGAGACCGAGAUCCCUAUCGGUGAGACCGAAAAUACUAGGGUUUCUGGCAGUGGCUAUGUUAACUGAACUCGGUGGUGCCGGAUAGAAAUAAUCGGUGGGGCCGAGUUGGAUAUUUGGUGUGGGACAUAUGUGGAUAUGAGAAAGUAGUGGAGGGUUUUGGAGCAUAUCACUAAGCAUUUUGAGCAAGCACCUCAUUAAGCAACACCUCAUCCCUUCUUAAUAGUAUUGGCUUUUCCUAUAGACUCAAUGUGAUCUUGGAUCACUAAAAUAGAAAAUGUAGAGUCUUGUGCUUUGAGUUUGAGCCAAUCUUUUAUCCUUAGCAUUUUGAAGGGUCCACUCUCUAAUUCAUGCCAUGCCAACCAUUGAGCUUUCCUGAAAUAUUCAUCUUGGAAUAGUAUUAGCUCAAUGAGCUAUAUGUUGUUAGGAAUUACCAAAACCACCCAGGGAUAGUUGCAUUCUUGCCACCGAGUCGUCCCACUCGGUCACACCGACAGGGUCAGUUUAUAUAUACGGACGGGCCAAAAUUUGAAAAAAAUUCCGAACCUCCUCGCCCGCGCAUAACCUACUCUGCCUCCUCGGGUCUUCGGAUCGUCCUCUCAUCUCCAGCGACCUACCGUCGCUGGUCUCCGCCGCCGUCAACGGAAAUCUUCACCGCCGUUGCCGCCGUAGCAAGUUCGUCGUCGAACUAGGGUACGAACUUGAUCAUUGUGCUAAUCCUUAACUCCGAUUCUUAGCACAUUGCUUUACCAUGAUUCUUGCCACGAAUGAAAUCAUCCUGUCCAGCGAAAACAUCCCGUAGACUAGUUUUGAUUUGAAAAUUUAGGGUUAGGUCUCCGCCGAAUUCAUCUCGGACCGACCGAGUUGUAGAAAUCGGUCUCACCGAUUUUGGCUUAGGCCAGAGCACACGCGUUUUCGGUCUGACCGAAAAUUGCAAAUCGGUGUGACUGAGUUCAAUUCUCUGUGAAACCCUAGCAGUCUCGGUGCCACCGAACUGUGACUCGGUCUGACCGAGUUCACUAGUUUAGGUUCCAAAAACUGCUUCGAUAUCACCGAGUUUACAAACCGGUAGAUCCGAAAUGCUUUUUGUGAAGAACUAAAACUAAGUUUUUGAGUCAAUUAUUUUUGCAAAACUCAUGUACUUUGUGAUGCUCAUCUACUCUACCUCAUCUAUAAUCCAUUCACAGGGUCUGCUGAUAGUUUGCCUGCACGAUGUCUGACCAAAGUGAUAGCCAGAACAAGUCUGAGGAGCAGGUUCAACUGAGUGAGGGCACUAGUCCCUCCAGUUCAUCUGAUGAUGGCAGUAGGAGCACACCAAGUAACUUGCCAAAGGCAGCCACCAGAACAAGAAAGAAGAAGACCUCAGAUUCAGAGGAUGAGGAUUAUGCGGCUGUUGAGGAAGAAGUCAGCUCCAAGAAAAAGGUGCUGAAAAAGGAGUACGACUCAGCUGCUACAGUCAAGCCAGGGAUGCAUAAGAAGGCACCAGCAAAGAGAGUCCCCAUGUCUAAGGCCAAAGCAUCCACUGCUGAAGCCUCCAAGCCUUCUGAAGAGGCGGUUGGAGAAGGCAGGAAAAGGAAGGAAAGGGUCAAGAAGACCACUGCCAGAGUGCUUGGCAGAUCAUCAAUUAUGAGAGACGAUGAUGAAGAGGAUGCUGCACCAACACCCAAAGCUCAAAAGCUCAUGGGAGAUGCAAUCAGAUUAGGGGCUGCUCCAUCUAAGCCCAAAGCCGCUUCCAAGGCAGCUGCUCCAGCUCAGAAGCCCAAGAGAAGCACUAGAAACAUUUCUGCUGAGGAAAAGAAUAAGGCCCCAAUGCCUGAAGCUGCCGAAGAAGAUGGAACUCAAGUGCUAAGGAAUCUGAAACCCAAGAUCCCUGACCACAAUGAUGCACAUCCAGUUGCAGAAAACAUGAAAACCAGGAAGGAUGCAGGAUUGAGAAUAUGGAGAGAGUCUGAUCCAUAUGCUAUCAGGAGAAGAACUGCCGUGGACUACAGGUUUCACACUAAGGAACAUCAGGACUUCUAUGAGACAGUGUUGCUUGACAAGAAGCCCAUUGUGUGUGACAUGAAAUGGGUAGACUAGGAGUACAUCCAGAAGAACGAAGAUCACUAUCCUGGAGUGUAUAACGGUUUUAAGGCAUGUGGAGUUGAUGAAUUUGUUGCACAAAAGCUCACCAAGUGGAAUGAUCAGCUGAUCAUGCAGUUCUACUCCACUGCCCAUUUCUAUCCAGAUGGGAAGAUUGUAUGUAUGUGUGAGGGUACUAGGUACCAAUCCACGGUUGAUGAGUGAGCCAAGCUUAUAAAUGCUCCUGAGGAACAUGAGGAUGACUUGGAUGUUUAUGCAGAGAAGAAGAAAGACCACAACACUAUGGCCAACGUGUACAAGAAGAUCCCAGAUGCUGCCUUGGAUACACACAAGUUCGGACCUGUCCACUACCUGUUGUCUGGUAUGCCUACCAUAAACUGGAUAUUAAAGCACACACCACUACCCAAGUCAGGUGAUCACAAGAUGAUCAGAGGACAUGCUAUAAACAUGCUACACAUAUUUGAUGUCCCACAGAAGUUCAAGGUCAUGAGCCUGAUUGUUGAGACAAUCAAGAUGACUGCUGUUGAUCAGAAGAGGAGUUGUGGGUAUGCUCCACACAUUUAGGAGCUCAUUAACUCAAAGAUGGGCACCGGCACAUAUCUUUUGGACAAGGAACACCUGUCCAUCUAUCCUGAAUUUGAAGACAACACUGUGGUGAUGGAUGAAAAUGAACCAUCUUCAGCUCAAGCACAUGAGAAGAGAGAGAAGGCAAAGGCAGAGAAAGCUGCAAAAUGCCAACUGUUGAAGAGGCAUCUCAAGUGUUCUUGAAAUACAAACAAGAUCAACUUGGAUAUCCGAUCCAAUCCACCCUGAGGAUUGAGAAGGGCUUGGCCACCCUGACUAAGAACCAAGAGAGUUUGGAGAGGAUCGUUGAGCAGAAGUUCUAUGAUCUGGAUGUCAAGGUAACUGAGAUCCAAACUGUAGUUGAGCAGCUACAGGAGGAAGCAGAGGAGAGGAAGGGAAAGUCUACUACUAAUGCUUUCAAGCGAGUGCCACGAGGUCCAAGGUCUGCUGCAGUGCCUGUGACAGAUACUCGAGCUUCAGUGUCAACACCAGCAGCCAUGGCUCUAGUGCCACCUCUAGCACCCACUCCAUCAGCUCCAACUACUUCAUCGGAAGCCUUCGUCCUUGGAGUUCUCUCUACACCACCUCCUGAAGAUCAAGCCUGAGAGUCGUUUAGCACUAUGCAUUUUUGAACUUUUUGGUAACUUGUUGUCAAAGGGGAAGAAAAAUGUAUAGAUCAUAGGCUUCGAGAGAGAGUGUUGUUUUUUAUCUCUCUUGCUAUUUUGGUUACUUCUUUAUUGAGUGCUUGUGUGAGAUACUUUAUGUCCUUGUGAGAUACUUGUUGAUCAUGUGUUUGAUCAUAUGCUACCCUUAAUGUUUGGUUGAAUGAUGCUAUCUUUUAUAUCUCUUAUAUGAUCAUUCACUUGCUUGGUGAUGAGUGCAUGCUUUUAAUCUCUAUCAUUUUGAGCGCUCCACCAAGAUGCAUGUGACAUGGAAGAGUAACCCAUGAUCCUAAUCGAUUGUGCAUUUGCAUUCAAAAGCAAAUUUAAAUAAUGCACAAAUUUAGGGGGAGCUCUUGCUUAUCACAUACUUCUCAAAGCGACGAUGUUUUUCAAUCUUAUUUAUCAUUUGUCGAAGCUUUGAUCUAUAUGUUGUCAUCAAUUACCAAAAAGGGGGAGACUGAAAGUGCAACUAUCCCUGGGUGGUUUUGGUAAUUCCUAACAACAUAUAGCUCAUUGAGCUAAUGCUAUUCCAAGAUGAAUAUUUCAGGAAAGCUCAAUGGUUGGCAUGGCAUGGAUUAGAAAGUGGACCCUUCAAAAUGCUAAGGAUAAAAGAUUGGCUCAAGCUCAAAGCACAAGACUCUACAUUUUCUAUUUUAGUGAUCCAAGAUCACAUUGAGUCUAUAGGAAAAGCCAAUACUAUUAAGAAGGGAUGAGGUGUUGCUUAAUGAGGUGCUUGCUCAAAAUGCUUAGUGAUAUGAUCCAAAACCCUCCACUACUUUCUCAUAUCCACAUAUGUCCCACACCAAAUAUACAACUUGGCCCCACCGAUUCUUUCUAUCCGGCGCCACCGAGUUCAGUUAACAUAGCCACUGCCAGAAACCCUAGUCUUUUCGGUCUCACCGAUAGGGAUCCCGGUCUCACCGAGAUGGGAUUGUAAUCUCUCUGUUUCCCUUCGUAACGUUUUGGUCAAACCGAGAUGAGCGAUCGGUCCCACCGAGAUUGCAAUGUAAACUCUCUGUUUCUCUUUCGUAACACUUCGGUCCAACCGAGAUGAGCGAAUCGGUCCCACCGAGUUUACCUGACCAACUCUCUGUUAGUCCAUUACCAAAAUCGGUCUCACCGAGUUUGUGUAAUCGGUCUCACCGAGAUUACGUUAUGCCCUAACCCUAAUGAAAUCGGUCCCACCAAGUUGACAUGUCGGUCCCACCGAGAAUCCCAGCAUUCACAUUUUGAACUAAAUCGGUCUGACCGGGUUUCAUGAUUCGGUCCCACCGAGUUUGGUGAUUUGUGUGUAAGGGUUAGAUUUUGUGUGGAGGCUAUAAAUACCCCUCCACCCACUCUUCAUUCGAGGAGAGAGCCAUCAGAACAUGCCUACACUUCCAAUACAUAUUUUCUGAGAGAGAACCACCUACACUUGUGUUGAGGUCAAGAUAUUUCAUUCCAACCACAUAAAUCUUGAUCUCUAGCCUUCCCCAAGUUGCUUUCCACUCAAAUCUUCUUUCUACCAAAUCCAAUCCUAUGAGAGAGAGAGUUGAGUGUUGGGGAGACUAUCAUUUGAAGCACAAGAGCAAGGAGUUCAUCAUCAACACACCAUUUGUUACUUCUUGGAGAGUGGUGUCUCCUAGAUUGGCUAGGUGUCACUUGGGAGCCUCCGACAAGAUUGUGGAGUUGAACCAAGGAGUUUGUAAGGGCAAGGAGAUCGCCUACUUUGUGAAGAUCUACCCUAGUGAGGCAAGUCCUUCGUGGGCGACGGCCAUGGUGGGAUAGAGAAGGUUGCUUCUUUGUGGACCCUUCGUGGGUGGAGCCCUCCGUGGACUCGCGCAACCGUUACCCUUCAUGGGUUGAAGUCUCCAUCAACGUGGAUGUACGAUAGCACCACCUAUUGGAACCACGCCAAAAAUCUCCGUGUCAACAUUGCGUUUGCUCCCUCAAACUCAUCCCUUUACCUUCAUAUGCAAUUGUUUUACAUUCUGCUGCUAUACUCUUAGAAUUUCAUGUGUAGGUUGAUUACUUGUUUGUGCCAAGUUGCUAAAAUCUGCCAAAAACUAAAAUUGGGAAAAGGCUAGAUUUUUAUUUGGUCAAGUAGUCUAAUCACCCCCUCUAGACAUACUUUCGAUCCUACACUUGCGCCUGCGACCAGCACAACGCCUUGCACAAGGCGUCGAAACAGAAUGGCAUCGUCGAAACCCGGUAUCUGCAAUCCUCUGCACGCAGACACCACAUUAUUACAUUAAAAGUAAAAGGAAACAACACAUUAUUGCAUUACAUGUGUAAUUGUACCACAUUAUUACAUUAAAAGAAAAAGUAAACAACACAUUAUUGCAUUACAUGUGUAAUUGUAAAUGUCCACGCAUCGGUUAACUAUUAGUUUGGUCUCUCAUAACCUCACACCGCGAGCAAAGAAGAGAAAAACAUGCUAGACCCUAGAUGUGGGGGAGGAAGAAACUCGUAAGGGGCAUGUUUGGUUCUCUACAUGAAUUUGGGCCUCCUGCAUGUGUGGUUCGGUUGAGUCCGGCUGAGUAAAUAUAGACAGUAAACCAUGUUGUGCGGUGCGUUUGGUUGCCCACAAAGCUCCAGGCUGCAUGGGAGCACAACAGACGUACGACGUUUGGUGGCAAGUCUUUGCUCGCCAGGUAAAACUUACUAUUGUUUGGCUACGUGUAAGACAUACAAUGUGGUUACAUCUUUUUUGAGCGGUGAGGUUACAAGCACACACAGUCAUAGGCACACCACUUUCAACAAGCAUACACACAGUCAUACACACCACUUUCAACAAGCGUACGCAUGGCUACAUUAACAAGCAUACACAUAGCGACACAAUCACAGGCAUAAUAGUGACAAGCAAACAUAUGCAUAACCACACAAUUGUAGGCAUAAUAGCUCAGGACUGACAGACUAACAAACAAAUAUUACAACUCUUGGAUCAUGACAAGUUGGGUCAUGAUGGACGCACUUGACCACCACACCCGCGUCAGAAAUGUCGAACACGAUGGACUUGAAACUAUCCACAGUGAGGACCUAUGGCAAAACAAACCCACCCUUGAUCCAUGGCAUGCCUCCCGUUGACAUCUCGGAGCUUGACCCUUUAGAUGCAGCUGGUGUUCGUCCUCAGAACGAUUUCCUGACGGUGCCCAUGUGCCAGCGGAAGGCAUCAUGGAUUAGAAGUAAAUAUAACCCAGGUGCUAAGCACAUUGCAGAAGUGGGAUGGACUUAGGUCCUCAUGAAAGCGGCCGAUAUUUGUCGGCCUCCCUUGACUCCUCUAUGAAUUGUUGCCUUGUACUACAACCUUGCCCUUGGAACGGCUGCCCGAAGAAUCAUUGUCAAUGACCAACUUGUCGGAAGGGCAAUGCAAUGAAGAACAUUAGGCUCAACACGCCAUUGAACUACAAUGUGUAGGAUCAUGACAAUGUGUAUGUCAUGGGUGAUGAUCUUCACUGCUUGUUGUCAUAUAGAAGGAUAAAGGUGGUACAAGGAUCAGAACUACAAUGUGCAGAACCAACCCUCAUACCAACGAUCACCCUAAUACAUGGACUGCACAUCAGUGAAGAUCAUUGCUCAAGACAGUCCAAGUUAAAUUGUUCUUCCCCCAAUUCAGAUUGAUAUACCCCCUAAUAGAACUUAGCUUUCCAAAAAUAUAACCCUACAUUGACACACAAACUGAGCCCUAUCAACCCCUAAAUAGAUGUAACACCCACGAUGCGGCUAUAUCUCCCAUGUGUCGGGGCACGACUUAGAGGCAUAACCGCAUGGUAGGCAUGUCGCAAGAGGGGUAAUAUUUACACAUCCCAUGUACUGAAUAAGAAUGAGAUAAAGAGUUGGCUUACAAUCGCCACUUCACACAAUACAUAAAAAUAGCAUUACAUCAUCCAGAAUACAAUCAAAGUCCGACUACGGAACCAAAUAAAGAAAGACAACCCCAAAUGCUAGAUCCCCGAUCAUCCUGACUGGGCUCCACUACUGAUCAAAAGGAAAUGAAACACCACAACAAAAAGGUCUUCAUCGAGCUCCCACUUGAGCUCGGUUGCAUCACCUGCACUGGUAUCAUCGGCACCUGCAACUAUUUGGAAGUAUCUGUGAGUCACGAGGAGUCAGCAAUCUCACACCCGCGAGAUCAAGACUAUUUAAGCUUAAGGUAGGAAAAGGGGGGGUAGUGAGGUGGAGCUGCAGCAAGCACUAGCAUAUAUGGUGGCUAACUUACGCAAAUGAGAGCGAGAAGAGGAGCAAAGCAUGGUCGAGAAGCUACAAAGAUCAAGAAGUGAUCCUGAAACUACUUACGUUCAAGCAUAACACGAGAGCGUGUUCUCUUCCCGGACACCGCCGAAAAGAGACCAUCACGGUUACACAUGCGGUUGAUGCAUUUUAAUUAAGUUAAGUGUCGAGUUCUCUACAACCGGAUAUUAACAAAUUCCCAUCUGCCCAUAACCGCGGGCACGAUUUUCGAAAGUUCAAAACCCCGCAGGGGUGUCCCAACUUAGCCCAUCACAAGUUUCUCCCAGGACGGCCCGAUCAGACUCGGAAUCCCGAUUACAAGACAUUUCGACAAUGGUAAAACAAGACCAGCAAAGCCGCCCGAAUGUGCCGACAAAUCCCGAUAGGAGCUGCACAUAUCUUGUUCUCAGGGCACACCGGAUGAGCCAGACGUCGGGUUGGCAUAGACCCUCGUUGCCCAGGGGGCACCGGACAUCGCUCAGGUUGGACCAACACUUAGAGAAGCACUGGCCUGGGGGGGGGGUUAAAAUAAAGGUGACCCUCAGGAGCGCGACUCCCAAGGGAAAAGUAGGUGGUGGUGAGGCAAAUGGUAAAACCAAUGUUGGGCCUUGCGGGAGGAGUUUUAUUCAAAGCGAACUGUCAAGGGGUCCCCAUAACACCGAACCGUGUAAGGAACGCACAAUCAAGGAACAUAACACCGGUAUGACGAAAACUAGGGCGGCAAGAGUGGAACAAAACACCAGGCAUAAGGCCGAGCCUUCCACCCUUUACCAAGUAUAUAGAUGCAUUAAUAAAAUAAGAGAUAUUGUGAUAUCCCAACAAUAAACAUGUUCCAACAAGGAACAAACUCCAUCUUCACCUGCAACUAGCAACGCUAUAAGAGGGGCUGAGCAAAAGCGAUAACAUAGCCAAACAACGGUUUGCUAGGAAGGUGGGUUAGAGGCUUGACAUGGCAAUAUGGGAGGCAUGAUAUAGCAAGUGGUAGGUAUCGCAGCAUAGCAAUAGAGCGAGCAACUAGCAAGCAAAGAUAGAAGUGAUUUCGAGGGUAUGGUCAUCUUGCCUGAAAUCCCGCAAGGAAGAAGAACGAGUCCAUGGAGAAGACAAACAGACGAAGUCGAACGAAUCCUCACAAAUGCGAUGUUAUCGGAACUAACCCGAAGAAGCAACACCGGAAAGAAGCAAACAACAAGGUAAACAACCAUCACAUAACCAUGGCAUGAUGCACAACCAAGUAUGAUGCAUGUCCGGUUUAAAGAGGCAUGGCAUGGCAAUUUGCACAAACAAAACUACAAAUUAAGUGGAGCUCAAUAUGCAACGAGUUCCAUAUUGACGGAACACCACAUGACUUAUUUAGUUCUCUCCCGGUUAUGUACCCAACAAUAUUAAAUGUUGGUUAGCAUGGCAAGAGGUGAAGCAUAAUAAAACUACUUAACUAGGCAAGUUUAAAAGAGGCCGUAGCAACAAACAACAAGUCCGGAAACUCCUCAUGUGCAUAUUUUUAGGUUUGGUACUGUUCUGCCCUAAACCAUAUUUUAGAGUUGUUAAGCAUGCAAAGUAAAGCCACCAUGUUAAACUAGGCAUUUUUCUACCCCAUUUACAUAUAAAGUUUAUUUAAAAUGGAGCUACGGUUAUUUAGUUAUGAAACAAACCAUUUUAGCAUGGCAUAAGAGUAAAUCUACACAAACAGCAAUUUAAACAUUUUAAACAUGGGUGAAAGUGACAUAUUAUGAAACUAGACACAAUUUUAAGCAUUUUUCAUAUAUAAAGUUUUUACAUGUGAUGCAUAGUUUGUGAGAUAUUAAAUGUAUGAACAUUAGGGUCUUUUCUGUAAAACAACGUUCUCUGGAAUAUUAGGAAAAUCGUAGAACAGGAAAAAAAUAAGCCACGGGCCGAAACUGGCUGGGCCACCACAGAGCAGAGGGGCUGUAGGAGCUGCUCACUCAUGGGCUAAGGCCCGGUUCGGUGGUGAGGCAGGCAGGCUUGGAGCUAGGCCAAGCAGGAGGCCGCGGCUGGGCUUUGGGAGAGGGGCGUGCUGGGCCGAUGGGUGAUACGUCCAUUUUGCAUCAUGCUUUAAUAUCAAUAUUUAUUGCAUUAUGGGCUGUUAUUACACAUUAUGUCACAAUACUUAUGCCUAUUCUCUCUUAUUUUACAAGGUUUACAUAAAGAGGGAGACUGCCGGCAGCUGGGAUUCUGGGCUGGAAAAGGAGCAAAUAUUAGAGACCUAUUCUGCACAGCUCCAAAAGUCCUGAAACUCCACGGAAGACGUUUUCCAAAUAUAUAAAAAAUACUGAGAGCAAGAACUUCACUAGGGGGGCCACACCCUGCCCACGAGGGUGGGGGGCGCGCCCUACCCCCUGGGCGUGCCCCCCUACCUCGUGGGCCCCUGGUGGCCCUCCGGUGACCAUCUUCUGCUAUAUGAAGUAUUUCGAUGGAAAAAAAAGAAGCCAUCUUCUCGGACGAAACUCCGCCGCCACGAGGCGGAACCUUGGCGGAACCAAUCUAGGGCUCUGGCGGAGCUGUUCUGCCAGGGAAACUUCCCUCCCGGAGGGGGAAAUCAUCGCCAUCGUCAUCACCAACGCUCCUCUCAUCGGGAGAGGGCAAUCUCCAUCAACAUCUUCAUCAGCACCAUCUCCUCUCAAAACCCUAGUUCAUCUCUUGUAUCCAAUUCUUGUCUCCAAGUCCGGGAUUGGUGCUAGUAGGUUGCUAGUAGUGUUAAUUACUCCUUGUAGUUGAUGCUAGUUGGUUUAAUUGGUGGAAGAUCAUAUGUUCAGAUCCUAUAUGCAUAUUAAUACCCCUCUGAUUAUGAACAUGUUUAUGCUUUGUGAGUAGUUACUUUUGUUCCUGAGGACAUGGGAGAAGUCUUGCUAUUAGUAGUCAUGUGAAUUUGGUAUUCGUUCGAUAUUUUGAUAAGAUGUAUGUUGUCUCUCCUCUAGUGGUGUUAUGUGAACAUCGACUACAUGACACUUCACCAUUAUUUGGGCCUAGAGGAAGGAAUUGGGAAGUAAUAAGUAGAUGAUGGGUUGCUAGAGUGACAGAACCUUAAACCCUAGUUUAUGUGUUGCUUCGUGUUGGAUCCAUAUGUUUCAUGCUAUGGUUAGGUUUACCUUAAUAUUUUUGUCGUAGUUGCGGAUUCUUGCAAUAGAGGUUAAUCAUAAGUGGGAUGCUUGUCCAAGUAAGGGCAGCACCCAAGCACCGGUCCACCCACAUGCCAAAUUAUCAAAGUACCGAACGCGAAUCAUAUGAACGUGAUGAAACCUAGCUUGACGAUAUUCCCAUGUGUCCUCGGGAGCGCUUUUCUCUAUAUAAGAGUUUGUCCAGGCUUGUCCUUUGCUACAAAAAGGAUCGGGCCACCUUGCUGCACUUUAUUUACUUUUGUUACUUGUUGCUCGUUACAAAUUAUCCUAUCACAAAACUAUCUGUUACCACUUAUUUCAGUACUUGCAGAGAAUACCUUGCUGGAAACCGCUUAUCAUUUCCUUCUGUUCCUCGUUGGGUUCGACACUCUUACUUAUCGAAAGGACUACGAUAGAUCCCCUAUACUUGUGGGUCAUCAAGACUCUUUUCUGGCGCCGUUGCCAGGGAGUGAAGCGCCUUUGGUAGGUGGAAUUUGGUAAGGAAAAAUUUAUAUAGUGUGCUGAAAUUUACUGUCACUUGUUAUUAUGAAAAGUAAUCCUCUGAGGGGCUUGUUCGGGGUAUCUUCACCCCGACCAGUAGAGCAAAGAGUUGCUCCUCAACCUACUGAAAAUGAAAAUGAAAAUGACGGCUUUGAAAUUCCUUCGGGUAUGAUAGAAAAACUGCUAGCUAAUCCCUUUUUAGGAGAUGUUGUUAAGAAGAAGGUCUUCCCUUUAUCUUUUAAGGGAGACACAUCGACAUGGUAUAGGCUAUGUGAUGAUAUGGGUCUUGGAAUUACAAACGAUUGAAAUUGGAAUUUCAUCAUAAGUUUUAUCCUAUGCAUCUUGUUCAUCGUGAUCGCAAUUACAUAUAUAAUUUUUGGCCUCGCAAAGGAGAAAGCAUCGCUCAAAAUUUGGGGAGGCUUAAAUGAAUGUUAUAUUCAUGCCCCAAUCAUGAGCUCUCGAGAAAAAUGAUUAUUCAAAAUUUCUAUGCUCGGCUUUCUGAUAACAAUCGCACCAUGCUUGAUACUUCUUGUGCUGGAUCUUUUAUGAUGAAGACUAUUGAAUUCAAAUUGGAUUUAUUGGAAAGAAUUAAAUGCAACUCUGAAGAUUGGGACCUCGACAAAGGUAAGGAGUCAGGUAUAAGACCUAGUUUUGAUUGUGUUAAAUCUUUUAUGGAUACCGAUAUUUUUCGUAAAUUUAGCACUAAAUAUGGACUUGACUCUGAGAUAGUAGCUUCUUUCUAUGAAUCUUUUGCUACUUAUGUUGAUCUCCCCAAGGAGAAGUGGUUUAAAUAGCAUCCUCCCAUAGAAGUAAAAGUAGCUGCACCUAUUAAAGUUGAAGAAAAGAUUGUCACUUAUAAUGAUCCUAUUGUUCCUACUUCUUAUGUUGAGAAACCACCUUUCCCUGUUAGGAUAAAGGAUCAUGCUAAAGCUUCAACUGUAAUUCAUAAAAGCAAUAUUAAAAUAUAUACACCUCCUGAGCAAGUUAAAGUUGAACCCAAUAUUGCUAUUGUUAAAGAUCUCUUGUCCGAUAAUAUUGAUGGGCAUGUUAUUUAUUUUUGUGAUGAAACUGCUAGAAUUACUAAACCCUGUGCUAAAGAUAAACCUAGACAUGUGGUAGGCAUGCCUGUUAUUUCUGUUAAAAUAGGAGAUCAUUGUUAUCAUGGCUUAUGUGAUAUGGGUGCCAGUGCUAGCGCAAUACCUCAUUCCUUAUACAAAGAAAUUACGCAUGAGAUUGCACCUCCUGAAAUAGAAGAUAUUCACCAAUGGGAAUUGUUAGAGAUGUUGAAGUCUUGUGUGGGAAAACUAAAUAUCCUGCUGAUUUUCUUGUUCUUGGUUCCCCACAAGAUAGCUUUUGUCCCAUUAUAUUUGGUAGACCCUUCUUGAACACUGUUAAUGCUACCAUAGAUUGCAAAAGGGAUGUUGUUACUAUCGGGUUAGAUGAUAUGACUCAUGAAUUUAAUUUCUCUAAAUUUAGUAGACAACACCGUGAAGAAGAAUUACCUAGUAAGGAUGAAAUUAUUGGUCUUGCUUCUAUUGCCGUAUCUCCUAGUGAUCCUUUAGAACAUUAUUUGCUAGACCAUAAAAAUGAUAUGUUUAUGAAUGAAAGAAGGGAAUUAGAUGAGGUAUUCUUUAAACAGGAACCUAUUCUGAAAAAUAAUUUACCUGUUGAAAUCCUAGGGGAUCCUCCUCCACCCAAGGGUGAUCCCGUGUUUGAGCUUAAACCAUUACCUGAUACUCUUAAAUAUGCUUAUCUUGAUGAGAAAAAGAUAUAUCAUGUUAUUAUUAGUGCUAACCUUUCAGAGCAUGAGGAAGAGAGAUAUUGAAAACUCUGAAGAAGCACCGUGCUGCUAUUGGGUAUACUCUUGAUGAUCUUAAGGGCAUUAGUCCCACUCUAUGUCAACAUAAAAUUAAUUUGGAAGAAGAUGCUAAACCAGUUCGUGAUCAUCAACGACGGCUGAAUCCUAAAAUGAAAGAAGUGGUAAGAAAGGAAAUACUAAAGCUCCUUGAGGCAGGUAUAAUCUAUCCCGUUGCUGAUAGUCAGUGGGUAAGUCCUCUCCAUUGUGUCCUUAAGAAGGGAGGUAUUACUGUGGUUCCUAAUGAUAAAGAUGAAUUGCUUCCUCAAAGAAUUAUUACAGGUUAUAGGAUGGUAAUUGCUUUCUGCAAAUUAAAUAAGGCAACUAAAAGGAUCAUUACCCCUUACCUUUUAUCGAUCAAAUGCUAGAAAGAUUAUCCAAACAUACACAUUUUUGCUUUCUAGAUGGUUAUUCUGGUUUCUCUCAAAUACCUGUGUCAGCCAAAGAUCAAUCAAAGACUAUUUUUACAUGCCCUUUUGGUACUUUUGCUUAUAGACGUAUGCCUUUUGGUUUAUGUAGUGCACCUGCUACCUUUCAAAGAUGCAUGAUGGCUAUAUUCUCUGACUUUUGUGAAAAGAUUUGUGAGGUUUUCAUGGAUGAUUUUUCCGUCUAUGGAUCUUCUUUUGAUGAAUGCUUAAGCAACCUUGAUCGAGUUUUGCAGAGAUGCAAAGAAACUAAUCUUGUCUUGAAUUGGGAAAAGUGCCACUUUAUGGUCAAUGAAGGUAUUGUCUUGGGGCAUAAAGUUUCUGAAAGAGGUAUUGAAGUUGAUAAAGCCAAGGUUGAUGCUAUUGAAAAGAUGCCAUGUCCCAAGGACAUCAAAGGUAUAAGAAGUUUCCCUGGUCAUGCCGGAUUUUAUAGGAGGUUCAUUAAGGACUUCUGAAAAAUUUCUUGGCCUCUGACUAAUUUAUUACAAAAAGAUAUACCAUUUGUUUUUGAUGAUGAUUGUGUAGAAGCAUUUGAAAUACUUAAGAAAGCAUUGAUUUCUGCACCUAUUGUUCAGCCACCUGAUUAGAAUUUACCCUUUGAAAUUAUGUGUGAUGCUAGUGAUUAUGCUGUAGGUGUUGUUCUAGGACAAAGAGUUGAUAAGAAAUUAAAUGUUAUUCAAUAUGCUAGUAAAACCCUAGACAAUGCUCAAAGAAAUUAAGCUACCACUGAAAAAGAAUUCUUAGCAGUUGUAUUUGCUUGUGAUAAGUUCAGACCUUAUAUUGUUGAUUCUAAAGUAACUAUUCACACUGAUCACGCUGCUAUUAAAUAUCUCAUGGAAAAGAAAGAUGCUAAACCUAGACUUAUUAGAUGGAUUCUCUUGCUACAAGAAUUUGAUUUACAUAUUAUAGAUAGAAAAGGAGCUGAGAACCCCGUUGCAGACAACUUGUCUAGGUUAGAAAAUGUGCUUGAUGACCCACUUCCUAUUGAUGAUAGCUUUCCGGAUGAGCAAUUAAAUGCCAUAAAUGCUUCUCAUACUGCUCCAUGGUAUGCUGAUUAUGCUAAUUACAUUGUUGCUAAGUUUAUACCACCUAGUUUCACAUACCAGCAAAAGAAAAAGUUCUUCUAUGAUUUGAGGCAUUACUUUUGGGAUGACCCACAUCUUUAUAAAGAAGGAGUAGAUGGUGUUACUAGACGUUGUGUACCUGAGAAUGAACAGGAAUAGAUCCUACGCAAGUGUCACUCCGAAUCUUAUGGAGGACACCAUGCUGGAGAUAGAACUGCACAUAAGGUAUUGCAAUCUAGUUUUUAUUGGCCUACUCUCUUCAAGGAUGCCCGUAAGUUUGUCUUAUCUUGUGAUGAAUGUCAAAGAAUUCGUAAUAUUAGUAGACGUCAAGAAAUGCCUAUGAACUAUUCACUCGUUAUUGAACCAUUUGAUGUUUGGGGCUUUGACUAUAUGGGACCCUUUCCUUCCUCUAAUGGAUAUACACAUAUUUUAGUUGCAGUUGAUUACGUUACUAAGUGGGUAGAAGCUAUUCCAACUAGUAGUGCUGAUCAUAACACUUCUAUUAAAAUGCUUAAAGAAGUUAUUUUUCCAAGAUUUGGAGUCCCUAUAUAUUUAAUGACUGAUGGUGGUUCACAUUUUAUUCAUGGUGCUUCCCGUAAAAUGCUUGCUAAAUAUGAUGUUAAUCAUAGAAUUGCAUCUCCUUAUCACCCACAGUCUAGUGGUCAAGUAGAAUUGAGUAAUAGAGAGCUCAAAUUAAUUUUGCAAAAGACUGUUAAUAGAUCUAGAAAGAAUUGGUCAAAGAAACUUGAUGAUGCAUUAUGGGCCUAUAGAACUGCAUAUAAAAAUCCUAUGGGUAUGCCUCCGUAUAAAAUGGUUUAUGGAAAAGCAUGUCACUUACCUCUCGAACUAGAACACAAGGCAUAUUGGGCUAUUAAAGAGCUCAAUUAUGAUUUCAAACUUGCCGGUGAGAAGAGGCUAUUUGAUAUUAGCUCACUUGAUGAAUGGAGAACCCAAGCCUACGAAAAUGCCAAGUUGUUUAAAGAAAAAGUUAAAAGAUGGCAUGACAAAAGAGUACAAAAGCGUGAGUUUAAUGUAGGUGAUUAUGUAUUGCUAUACAACUCUCGUUUAAGAUUUUUUGCAGGAAAACUUCUCUCUAAAUGGGAAGGUCCUUACGUUAUCGAGGAGGUCUAUCGUUCCGGUGCCAUAAAAAUCAACAACUUCGAAGGCACAAAUCCGAAGGUGGUGAACGGUUAAAGAAUCAAACAUUAUAUCUCAGGUAAUCCCAUAAAUAUUGAAACCAAUAUUGUUGAAACCGUAACCCCGGAGGAAUACAUAAGGGACACUUUCCGGAACGUUUCAGACUCCGAAAAGGAAUAGGUAUGUGGUACGGUAAGUAAACCGACUCCAAAACAGUUUUUAAGGCAAUAUUUCUCCGUUUUGGAAUAUUUAGAAAAAAUAGAAAAAUAAGUAGCGUCCCGGGAAGGACACGAGGGCUCCACGAGGGUGGAGGGCGCGCCCUACCCUACUGGGCGCGCCCCCCUACCUCGUGGGCACCUCGUGCGCUUUCCGCUCCGUUUUCGUACACGACACGUAUUUUGGUCGGUAAAAAUUCAUUAUAUAAUCUCCCAGGGGUUUUGACUCCCGUAUCACACAAAAAUCUUCUGUCUUUGUUUCGAGCUGUUUUUCUGACAGAUCUAGAUUAUCAUGACGUCUCCAAGUGCUCCCAAGGACAAGUUCUUCGAGAAGGUCAUCAACCCUUACCUCACGGAGGUGUACCGACACCCUCAAACCAUUGAGAUGCGUGAUGGGUUGCUGCACAUCCAUGAUGCUGAGGGACCGAAGGGGACCGGAAGCAUGGAGACGAGGCUCGAAGCAAUGGAGCAACAAGUUUUCAAGUGUCAGGGGAUGGUGGAGCGUGGACUAAACUCCAACCACAUGAUGAUCGCAGAGUUCACCAACAAACACAAGCUGGAUGCCGACAACAUCGGGGAGACCAUCUUCAAGCUUCACGAGAAAAUCGAGCACCUUCAAGCUCAAAUCUAUGACCUGCAAAGCCAAAACUGUGAGUAUGAAUAUAGAUUCAAAAGGAUGAGUUUGGCUGCAGAUUUGAGGAUCCCGGAGACUCGGUCAUCCUUCUAUGAUGGUGAGCCUAUGCCUUGGAAGAAGGACGACAAGCCUACGCCAUCAACAAAGUCACCACCGUCUCCACCAACAAAGAAGAAUUGAGUAUCUGGUAUGGGCACUCCACUUGGCAACUGCCAAGCUUGGGGGAGUGCCCCGGUAUCGUAUCACCAUCACUUUUAUCUUUACCUUUUUUCUUAGUUCGAUCCUUUUGGUAAUAUCUUGAUCUAGUAGAAUAAAAGUUCCUAGUAUGAUCUAGUUGUGAGUUUUGCUUUAUUAUCCUUCUAUGUAAUCAAGUCCGUGAGCUAUAUAUAAUAAAGAUUAGUGUUGAGUCAAGGGCUUGAUUAUUUGCCAUGAUCCUAAGUGAAUAAAAGAAAAGAGAAAGAAAUAAAAAGAAACAAAGAGAUCAUGUGAGCCUUAUGGAGAGUAAUGAGCUCACAUAGAAAAAGUAUGAUGGAUAAAAGUUGUUGAGAGUUGACAAACAUAGUUUUGGUCAUCGUUGCAAUUAAUAGGAAGUAAUAAAGAAAGAGAGGUCUUCACAUAUAGAUAUACUAUCUUGGACAUCUUUUAUGAUUGUGAGCACUCAUUAAAAUAUGACAUGCUAAAGAGUUGACGUUGGACAAGGAAGACAAGUAAUGGGUUAUGUUUUCUUACAUCUCAGAUAAAUUAUAUUGUCUUGGAUCCUCCAACAUGUUGAGCUUGCCUUUCCUCCUCAUGCUAGCCAAAUUCAUCGCACCAAGUAGAGAUACUACUUGUGCUUCCAAACACCCUUAAACCAGUCUUGCCAUGAGAGUCCACCACACCUACCUAUGGAUUGAGUAAGAUCCUUCAAGCAAGUUGUCAUCGGUGCAAGCAAUAAAAAUUGCUCUCUAAAUAUGUAUGACUUAUUAGUGUGGGAGAAAAUAAGCUUUAUACGAUCGUGUGAUAUGGAAUAAAUAAAAGCGACAGACUGCAUAAUAAAGGUCCAUAUCACAAGUGGCAAUAUAAAGUGACGUUCUUUCGCAUUAAGAUUUUGUGCAUGCAAUCAUAAAAGCGCAUGACAACCUCUGUUUCCUUCUGCGAAGGGCCUAUCUUUUACUUUUAUCUCCUACCUUGCAUAAGAGUCAUGGUGAUCUUCACCCUUCCUUUUUACAUUUUAUCCUAUGGCAAGCACAGUAUGUUGGAAAGAUCCUAGUAUAUAUGGCUAAUUGGAUGUGAGUUUUCAUGAACUAUUACUGUUGACAUUACCCUUGAGGUAAAACGUUGGGAGGCAAAACUAUAAGCCCCUAUCUUUCUCCGUGUCCGAUUAAAACUCCAUACCCAUAAGUAUUGUGUGAGUGUCAGCAAUUUUGAAAGACUAUAUGAUAGUUGAGUAUGUGGACUUGCUGAAAAGCUCUUAUAUGUUGACUCUUUCCUAUGUUAUGAUAAAUUGCAAUUGCUGCAAUGACUGAGAUUAUAGUUUGUUAGUUUUCAAUGAAGUUUACGAUUCAUACUUGAAAUUGUGAUUGAAUUAUUACUCUAGCAUAAGAAAUCAUAUGACAAGAAUUAUAUAAGUUGAUGUUCUAAGAAUGAUCAUGAUGCCCUCAUGUCCGUAUUUUAUUUUUAUCGACACCUGUAUCUCUAAACAUGUGGACAUAUUUUUCGAUUUCGGCUUUUCGCUUGAGGACAAGCGAGGUCUAAGCUUGGGGGAGUUGAUACGUCCAUUUUGCAUCAUGGUUUUAUAUCGAUAUUUAUUGCAUUAUGGGCUGUUAUUACACAUUAUGUCACAAUACUUAUGCCUAUUCUCUCUUAUUUUACAAGGUUUACAUAAAGAGGGAGAAUGCUGGCAGCUGGGAUUCUGGGCUAGAAAAGGAGCAAAUAUUAGAGACCUAUUCUGCAUAGCUCCAAAAGUCCUGAAACUCCACGGAAGACGUUUUCCAAAUAUAUAAAAAAUACUGAGAGCAAGAACUUCACUAGGGGGGCCACACCCUGCCCACGAGGGUGGGGGGGGGGCGCACCCUACCCCCUGGGCGCGCCCCCCUACCUCGUGGGCCCCCUGGUGGCCCUCUAGUGACCAUCUUCUACUAUAUGAAGUCUUUCGAUGGGAAAAAAAUAAGAAGCCAUCUUCUCGGACGAAACUCCGCCGCCACAAGGCGGAACCUUGGCAGAACCAAUCUAGGGCUCUGGCGGAGCUGUUCUGCCGGGGAAACUUCCCUCCCGGAGGGGGAAAUCAUCGCCAUCGUCAUCGCCAACGCUCCCCUCAUCGGGAGAGGGCAAUCUCCAUCAACAUCUUCAUCAGCACCAUCUCCUCUCAAAACCCUAGUUCAUCUCUUGUAUCCAAUUCUUGUCUCCAAGUCCGGGAUUGGUGCUAGUAGGUUGCUAGUAGUGUUAAUUACUCCUUGUAGUUGAUGCUAGUUGGUUUAAUUGGUGGAAGAUCAUAUGUUCAGAUCCUAUAUGCAUAUUAAUACCCCUUUGAACAUGUUUAUGCUUUGUGAGUAGUUACUUUUGUUCCCGAGGACAUGGGAGAAGUCUUGCUAUUAGUAGUCAUGUGAAUUUGGUAUUCGUUCGAUAUUUUCAUGAGAUGUAUGUUGUCUCUCCUCUAGUGGUGUUAUGUGAACGUCGACUACAUGACACUUCACCAUUAUUUGGGCCUAGAGGAAGGCAUUGGGAAGUAAUAAGUAGAUGAUGGGUUGCUAGAGUGACAGCAGCUUAAACCCUAGUUUAUGCGUUGCUUCGUAAGGGGCUGAUUUGGAUCCAUAUGUUUCAUGCUAUGGUUAGGUUUACCUUAAUACUUUUGUUGUAGUUGCGGAUGCUUGCAAUAGAGGUUAAUCAUAAGUGGGAUGCUUGUCCAAGUAAGGGCAGCACCCAAGCACCGGUCCACCCACAUACCAAAUUAUCAAAGUACCGAACGCGAAUCAUAUGAACGUGAUGAAACCUAGCUUGACGAUAUUCACAUGUGUCCUAGGGAGCGCUUUUCUCAAUAUAAGAGUUUGUCCAGGCUUGUCCUUUGCUACAAAAAGGAUUGGGCCACCUUGCUGCACUUUAUUUACUUUUGUUACUUGUUGCUCAUUACAAAUUAUCCUAUCACAAAACUAUCUGUUACCACUUAUUUCAGUACUUGAAGAGAAUACCUUGCUGGAAACCGCUUAUCAUUUCCUUCUGCUCCUCGUUGGGUUUGACACUCUUACUUAUCAAAAGUACUGCGAUAGAUCCCCUAUACUUGUGGGUCAUCAAGACUCUUUUCUGGCGCCGUUGCCAGGGAGUGAAGCGCCUUUGGUAGGUGGAAUUUGGUAAGGAAAAAUUUAUAUAGUGUGCUGAAAUUUACUGUCACUUGUUAUUAUGGAAAGUAAUCCUCUGAGGGGCUUGUUCAGGGUAUCUUCACCCCGACCAGUAGAGCAAAGAGUUGCUCCUCAACCUACUCAACCUACUGAAGAUGAAAAUGACUGCUUUGAAAUUCGGUGGUUUUCUAGGGUUAGGGCGGUUUUCUGGAGCGUUUCGAAGCGUCCGAUCGGGAUCCGGUGGUUCCGAUCGGAGGGGGGUUAGAGAGCUAGUUGUGGGCUGUGUAGAGGGCCAUGAACUAAGAGGAGAGAAGAGAAGUGCAGCCCGGCAAGGUUUUCGGAGACCGAAAACGUCCGACGUUAGACCGGCUAUACUGCCGCUAUAGUUAUCCGUUGGGGCAUCAAACGAACUCCGAAUGCGAUAAAACUUGGCAGGCGACCUACUAACAACAUAACAACACCGCAUGCCAACUUUCAACCCAUUCCGAGAACAUUUUCCGACCACUUAUAAAAUACUAUUUCGGACGUGCCGCGGACGCGUGCAAGUGUGGAUGGGUUCAGAACGGAUGACGGAAAGAACUGGGAGACCCGGAUGAAUGCAAUUUUUGAAAACAUGAUGAUGCAAUGCACAUGAUGACAUGGCAAGAUGCAACACGCAAGCGAAUGACACGGCAACAGCAGCGAAUAACUGGAAGAUGCCUGGCGCAACGGUCUCGGGGCGUCACAAUAGAGGCCUGUAAAACCCUAAACCGGAUGCUAAAUCGAACCCUAAUCCGGCUGGGAAGGGCUUAUCGCCAUGUGAUGUCUACUACACAACCUUCUUCUUGUAGACGUUGUUGGGCCUCCAAGUGCAGAGGUGUGACGCCCCGAGACCGAUGUGCCAGGUGUCUUCCUGUUAUUCGCCGACAUUGCCAUGUCAUUUGCUUGUGUGUUGCAUUUUAUCAUGUCAUCAUCCGCAUUGCAUCAUCAUGUUUUCAAAACUUGCAUCCGUCUGUUGUCCGUUCUGAGCCCAGACACACUUGCACGCGCCCGCGGCAUGUCCGAAAUAUUAUUUUAUAAGUGGCCGGAAAAUGUUCUCGGGUUGGGUUGAAAGUUGGCCUGUGGUCUUAUUAUAGUGUAGAUAGACCACUUGUCAAGUUUCAUCGCAUUCGGAGUUCGUUUGAUAGCCCAACUGUUAAACUAGAGCGGCAUUAUAGCCGGGCACAUGUCGGACGUUUUCGGUCUCCGGAAACAGUCGCCGGGCCUCUCCUCUUCUCUCUUCUCAGCCCUUUGCCUUAUGCACUACCUCUCACCGCCAGGCCCUACCUAACCUCUCUUGUCAGCCUGCGACCCUCCUCACACGCGUGUUCGAAAAGCUGUCCCGGACCCGACCCGGACUGUCGCCACCUAUCGGUGUACUAGAGUAGGGGUACCCUAGUAUCCCGAACUUGUGCACGGGCAGUCGCAGCAUCCCGCGGCAAGGCUUGCCGGGUGACCGCCAAGGUCCUCCGUGGUUCCUUUGGAGCCAUUCAAGAACAAAGUAUCCAAACCAAGACACCACAAGACCCCGACAAGAGGAGCUUGCCGGGAAGGCCAACCAAGGCAAGGCGCUUAAGGAGACAAGACCCCGGCAAGAGGAGCUUGCCGGGAAGGCCACCCAAGGCAUCUCAAGGAACUUGCCGCGGCGCGCCUCGCGUCCCGGCAAGGCCCGGUGAGCGACAAGACAACGACCGCGGCAAGGCGCUUGCCGCGGCAAGCCACCACUCUGUGCCCGCGCUCCAGCACAUCCACCAACGUGUCGCUCUGGGACCCUUCCAGGCGUGCGUGGCGGGAGGCUGUGCAGCCAGCGGUGCGCAGUGGCGAGCGGCGCUGACAAGAUUGCCAUCGUGGCGAGCGGUGGCGUCCCUGACGGUCCCUUUUACACUGUUUAGGCGACACAGACGGGCAUUUAAUGCCCUUGUCCCCUGCCGUCAGGGUUAGGUAUGAUACACUAUAGCAGGUAGCUGUACCUACCGUAGCUCCUUUCCAUUUUUACCCUUUGUCUCCGUUGCCACCUGUCGGUGACCCCUUGAGCAUAUAAAAGGAGGCCCAUGUGCAACGUAGAGGGGGGUUCGGAAAAAAGAGAACACUCAGGCUCGGUCUCGUUAGCCGCUGGUGUGUACUGUAGCACUCCGCGCUCCCGAGCAAGAACCCAAUACAAACCACAAAGCAGGAGUAGGGUUUUACGCAUCCGUGCGGCCCGAACUUGGGUAAACUGCUCGUGUGCUUUGCCUCGAUCCGCUCUUCGUGCGACCUCCGCCCCCGCCGAACCGAAAGGGACUCGGUCCGCCGGUCCCAUAGGUGUUCGUGGAUUAGUCCCCCGACAUCUUUGGCGCGCCAGGUAGGGGGCGUCGAGGUUGUAUGAACUAGAUCCGGUGUUCACGCGAGCUAGAUCUUCGUCACCUUCAUCAACAUGCCGCCGAAGAAGAAGGCUUCAGAGGCGGCUGCUCCGUCCGCGCCUUACCCACCACCGCCGGAGCAAACGGCUGAUGGGGCAGACGCCGGUGGAAGAACGGGCGUCGACGAGGGAGCUCACGGUGCUGCCAGGUCCAAGGACAAGGCUGCGCUACCCAUCGGUGGCGUAGCCGGCUCCCACAACGAUCGGGCGCACUCCAAGACCUCGGCGUCUGUACAUGCACCGCGCCCAUCUCAGGAGGCGCGAGACCGGCAGCGUUAUGGUACUCACAGUACCAUGUGUUUGCUGGACCAAGAUCGAGCUGGUGGAUCUCGGAGUGCUCAAGACCAGCAUGCACGCCAACGUGCUGGCACGAGCGAGGUACGGUCGCCUGGACGGGACACUGCUCCUUCUAACAUAGUUAGAAGUCCGAGCAUAUCCCGCUCCUCGCACCGUUCACCACCGCCACCCGCCACUGCAGCAGAAGCUUUGACGCGAGCUCAACUGCUCCUGUACUACCCUCCAACGGCAGACAAGAUCGACGACUGGAGGGCCACCAUUCAGAGUCUCAUCGGCUUCGCCAACGGCGACACUCAACAGCAGCCGAGCACGUCGCAGCCACGGCAAGCCAUCCAAGCACGAACCGGUGGAGACAAGACCGGUGGGGGUGCAACCACUAUGCACUCUCCGCCCCGAAGGCCAAGAUCGCUGACUCGCCGGAUCCACCUCGACAGCGACUCCACCGCGUCAUCAGAUCCACGAGCUCGUCGCGAUCAGCGCCAAGUUCUUCAUGAACGACAGCAAGAAGACGCUCGUACACGCAUCGAGCGCCGAAGAGAAGCGCGACGUCAAUCGGACCAGCGCGCUGGGCCCUCUGUUGACAUGCAUGCGCCAGGGGAACCAGGCGGCUUGCCGUACGCGGUAGGUUGCCCUGCAUUUACUCGUGAGCUGCGGCAAGUCCAGUGGCCCAGCAUGAAGAAUUUCAAGCUAGAUGUACCAGAGAAGUACGACGACAAGUCGCAUCCGUUGGAGUUCCUCAGCAUCUACACCAUCGUGGUGCAUGCUGCCGGGGGAUGGGACGACAAGAUCGUUGCCAACUACUUCCCGCUGGUGCUCAAGCCCAACGUCAGGUCCUGGCUCAUGCACUUGCCGGACAACUCCAUAUCCUCCUGGGCAGACCUAUGCCAUCAGUUUGUCGGCACCUUUACAGGCGGCCACAAACCUCAUGGCCAAGAGAGUGACCUUCAUCUGCUCGCCCAGAAGGAAGGAGAGCCCCUGCGCAAGUACAUUCAGAGGUUCAGCCGUGUACAGCACAACAUCCCAGAUGUCCACCCCGCCGCGGUCAUCAGCGCGUUCCAUCAGAACGUGCGUAACCGCAGGAUGCGGGAGGAGAUGGCGAUGUGCAAGAUCAGAGACGUCAGCGAGCUGUAUGCCCUGGCCGACAAGUGUGCACGUGCUGAGGAAGGGAAUAAACUCCCUGGAGAGAAUGCAGGAGCAGGAGGAUCUGACAGCGAGGAUGAUGCCCCGGCAAAGAAAAACCGGCGGCGGAACAGGAAGAAGAAAGGCAAAGAUGUGCUAGUCGUUGAGCAGUCCGGCAAUGAAGGUGGCGCCAAGAAAGCCAAAGUUGGUAGCUCCGGCAAGGAGAUUGCCGCAUGCACCAACUGCCAGGCAGUGGCGGUCGCCGACAAGCAGGACGGCACCGACAAGCAGUACUGCAAGAUCCACUGCACCAAGGGCCAUGACCUCCAGAGCUGCAAGAAGGUCGAACAGCUUGUCCAGCAGCAAAAAGCCGAAUACGAGCGAUGCGACAAGGAGAGGGCCCAAGGUGGCGAUGGAGAAUCCGGCAAGAAGCGCGCCGGCCGGGGAGGACGCCGCGGCAAGGCCAAGCAGCGGCAAGGAGAUAGACCUUCCCGCGGCCGCGAUAAGGAUGAAGAUGACGAUGACGACGAAGACAUGGAGGAUGUCGAGACCAGUGAGCAGGAGUUCCAGAAAGCCACACAGGUCUUGUGCGUUGACGGCGGUGCAUGUCUGCAUACUUCGCACCGCCAACUCAAGCAGUGGGUGCGGGAAGUUAAUGCGGCGGAGCCACCCGUCGAGUCACGCAAGCUUCUGAAAUGGUCCAGCACGCCUAUCAUCUUUGAUAUUGAGGACCACCCUGAUCGCACAACUGCGGUCGGGUGCUUGCCGAUGUUGGUUUCACCAACUAUCCGCAACCUCAAGGUCACUAAGAUGUUAGUUGACGGCGGGGCCGACUUGAACUUGAUCUCCUCCGUGGUACUCCAGAAACUCCAAAUCCCUGACAGCGAGCUUGAAGAGACCGACACAUUCCAAGGAAUCAACCCGGGAAGGAGCAAGCCGAAGGGGAAGGUCACGUUGCCUGUAACAUUUGGCAGCGAGCUGAACUUCAGGACUGAGAGGGUCACUUUUGACGUUGCCGAUAUUCCAUUGCCUUACAAUGGGAUACUUGGCCGUCCAGCACUCGCCAAGUUCAUGGCAGCCUCUCACUACGCAUACAACAUGCUGAAGAUGCCAGGCCCGAUAAGCGUCAUCUCUGUCCCCGGUGACAAGAAGGAUGCUCUUAUCUGCGCCGACGAGAUCUACCGGGAAGCGGCAGCCGCAACAGAUCACAAGUCACUUGCCGUUGAAGCCCCCGGGGGGAAGAAGAAGACCAAGUCCGGCAAGAGUUCUGAUGCCCACCCCGGCAAGCGCACCUCUUCGGAGUGCUGCGCUGCCGUCGAGGACGCACCAUCGAGCUCCACCGGCAAGUGUAAGAAGACAAUGGCAGCUCCGCCAGAGACGAAGAAGGUGUCCGCCAAGGAGGAUGGCACUGGUGGCACCUUCACCAUCAGUGCCACUCUCGGCCCUAAAUAGGAAAGCGCGCUCAUUGCUUUCCUGCGGGCGAAUGUCGACGUGUUUGCAUGGCAACCGUCUGACAUCCCCGGUGUUCCCAGGAAAGUAAUUGAGCACCACCUUGCCGUUUGUCCUCAUGCGCGGCCCGUCAAGCAGAAGGUCAGGAAGCAAGCAGUGGAGCGCCAAGAAUUCAUUGCAGAAGAGAUCAAGAAGUGGAAGCAGCAGGCCUUGUUAGAGGAGUGCUCCAUCCUACAUGGUUGGCCAAUCCUGUAGUCGCGCGCAAGGCGAACGGGAAAUGGAGACUUUGUAUCGAUUUUACCGAUGUUAACAAAGCUUGUCCCAAAGACCCAUUUCCUUUGCCGCGCAUUGACCAGAUUGUUGACUCCACGGCCGGAUGUGAUUUGCUUUCAUUUCUUGACGCAUACUCAGGAUACCAUCAGAUCUUCAUGGCAGAAAAGGAUGAGGAGAAGACCGCAUUCAUUACUCCAUGUGGCACGUACUGUUUCAUACGGAUGCCUUUCGGAUUAAAAAAUGCUGGCUCAACAUUUGCAAGAGUAGUCCAUGUCGCUCUUGAGCCACAAAUACACAGAAAUGUGGAAGUCUACAUGGAUGACAUAGUGGUCAAGAGCAAGGACAAGGCAACUCUGAUCCAAGAUUUAGACGAGACCUUUGCAAAUCUGCGCAAGAUCAGCCUCAAGCUCAAUCCCGAGAAGUGUGUGUUUGGAGUCCCCUCCGGCAAGCUUCUCGGGUUCUUCGUGUCUCAGCGGGGAAUCGAAGCCAAUCCCGACAAGAUCAAGGCCAUUGAGCAGACUGAAGCACCAAAACGCGUCAAGGAUGUACAAAGACUUGCUGGUUGCAUGGCUACUCUCAGCAGGUUUAUCUCUAGGUCUGCUGAGCGGGCCCUGCCGUUUUCAAAUUAUUGAAAAAGGCAGGUCCAAUGAAAUGGACUCCGGAAGCGGAGGCUGCGCUGCAAGACUUGAAGAGAUACCUGUCCUCCGCUCCAACACUUGUCGCACCUAAGCCACAAGAGAAGUUGCUGCUGUAUAUAGCGGCAACCAAUCAAGUGGUUAGUGUUGCGUUAGUGGCAGAGAGGGAGGCAGAUGACGAGCCAGCAACCACGGCAGACGCAUCCAGCGGCAAGCAGAGGGCUUCCCCGGCAAGCUCUGGUCCCGACAAAGAUGGAUCCGCAGAUGCGCGAGGAGAUACAGAAGAAAAUGGUGCAGCGCCCAGUUUACUUUGUUAGUUCCCUUCUGCAGGGGGCUAGGUCAAGGUACUCUGGCAUACAGAAAUUGCUUUUCGGCCUUCUCAUGGCCUCGAGAAAGCUGUGCCAUUACUUCCAAGCACAUGAGAUCACAGUUGUCACUCGCUUUCCGCUGAAGAGGAUACUACAGAAUCCAGAAGCGACAGGCAGGAUUGUUGAGUGGGCACUGGAACUGUCAAGCUUUGGCCUCAAGUUUGAGAGUACUUCAACUAUCCAAAGCAGAGCAUUGGCAGAAUUCAUAGCAGAAUGGACGCCAACACCAGAUGAAGAAAUUCCAGAAACGAGCAUCCCCAUCAACGAAGCAAGCAAAGAGUGGCUGAUGUACUUUGAUGGUGCUUUUUCGCUGCAAGGCGCCGGCGCUGGCGUGCUGCUUAUCGCACCCACCGGAGAGCACCUCAAGUACAUAGUCCAGAUGCACUUUCCCAAGGAGCAAGCAACAAACAAUACUGCAGAGUAUGAAGGCUUGCUUGCCGGUCUCAGGAUCGUGGCAGACCUUAGGAUCAAGAAGCUCAUUGUCCGGGGUGACUCACAGCUUGUCGUCCGCCAAGUGAACAAGAGUUAUCAGAGUCCGUUGAUGGAAGCUUACGUCGACGAAGUGAGAAAGCUAGAAGAGCACUUUGACGGCCUACAGAUGGAGCAUGUUCCAAGAGCUCAGAACAGCAUUGUCGAUGGCCUGUCAAAGUGCGCUGCACUUAAGUUACCUGUGGAACCAGGGAUCUUUGUGCUCAAGCUGACUCAACCAUCUGUAACGCCAUCAACUGGACAGAGCAAGAAGAGGAAGUUGAUUUCUGGUGACUAUUUGCCGGCAGAGCUUCCCGAAGCCGCCGCCAAGAAGGUCCCCAAGAUCAACGCCAAGAGUGCUGAGGAGCAAUCUGCUCCGGCAAGCCCUAGGGUUUGUUCCGUUGAAGCAGAAGCUCCCGACAAGUUUUGCUCCAGCAAGCUUGCCGGGGAACGUCAAGCUCCGGCAGAGCCGCAGAUUCUCGCCGUAGAAGCGGAUGUUCCCGCAGCCGCAGAUUUGCCUUUAGUCCUUGUUGUCGAGCCACAAGCUCCAGCAUGGGCACAGCAGGUUGUCCGUUUCCUUCAGACAUGAGAACUUCCCGAAGAGCAAGAAGAAGCGGAAAGAGUAGCCCGGCAGUCAAGUAUGUACCAGUUUGUCGACAAGACACUGUACAGAAGAAGACUCAACAGUGUGAAAUUGAAGUGUAUUCACCGGGAAGACGGACAAAAGCUGUUGGCAGAGAUACAUGGAGGCAUAUGUGGUCACCACAUUGGCGCAAGAGCACUUGUCGGCAAAGCAUUCCAGCAAGGUUUCUUUUGGCCGACAACCUUCCAGGAUGCAACUGCACAAGUAACCAAGUGUGAAGCGUGCCAGUUCCAUUCCAAGCAGAUACACCAACCAGCUCAAGCUCUCCAGACGAUCCCUUUAUUCUGGCCAUUUUCGGUCUGGGGGCUCGACAUCCUCGACCCCUUUCCCCGAGCAGUCGAGGGCUUUGAGUACUUGUACGUCGCAAUCGACAAGUUCACAAAGUGGCCGGAAGUGGAACCAGUGAGGAAGGUGACAGCACAGUCAGCAGUCAAGUUCUUCAGGUCGAUUGUUUGCCGCUUCGGGAUCCCUAACAGGAUAAUCACCGACAACGGUACGCAAUUCACGAGCCGCACCUUCAUGCAGUACGUCCAAGAUCUUGGCGCCAAGGUCUGCUUCGCUUCUGUUGCUCACCCGAGAAGCAACGGUCAAGCGGAGAGGGAAAAUGCUGAAGUGCUGCGCGGGCUCAAGACCAGGACUUUCGACAGGCUACACAAGUGCGGAAGAAACUGGAUCGAGGAGCUGCCGGUGGUUCUUUGGUCGAUCAGAACGACGCCAAAUCGAGCCACUGGCCAAACACCUUUCGCUCUAGUCUAUGGAGCAGAGGCAGUUCUCCCCACGGAACUCGUAUACGGGUCACCUCAAGUGCUCGCUUAUGAUGAGCUCGAGCAAGAGCAGCUGCGACAAGAUGACGCGCUGCUCCUUGAGGAAGACCGUCUUCAGGCUGCUGUGCGAGCUGCUCGCUACCAGCAAGCUUUGCGCCGCUACCAUAGCCGCAAAGUUAACGCCAGAAGUUUCGAGGAAGGCGACCUUGUUCUUCGGCGUGUUCAAUCCGCCAAGAAUUCCAACAAGUUGACGCCGAAGUGGGAAGGCCCUUACCGGGUGAAACGAGUCACUAGGCCUGGCGCUGUCUGCUUUGAGACCGAAGAUGGCAUUCCGGUGAGCAACUCCUGGAACAUUAAGCAUCUUCGUAAGUUUUACCCGUAAGGCGCAGUUGCCGGAACCUGUUCCGGCAACCACCUUUUGUACAAGUCUUGCCGCUGUUGCAUGUAAUCCUUUGUACAAAGCCGGGCGCAGACCCCGUGCAUAAGUAAAGCUCAUGUGCUCCGCACAUUUUGUCAAUUUCAUGCUCUCUAUUUUUUGGCAUAUAUGAUCUGACACUUUGUGCAGCACCUACUCCACGGUAAGCAAUAACGAGCCGUAAGGCUCCGUAUCUUUAUUUUCUCUUCUUUCUUUUUUCUCAAGGAAAGGAAGGUUCCCUCGCCCACAAGUUUGCCGGGGAGGAAAGGAGAAGAUAAUGGUAUGGACCAGACGUCGUUCAAGAAAAUUUCGCCUUACCGGGAAGCAAACAACAAAAAAGCUAAGUUGCCAAAGUUUGAGCAAUCAGAUUUUUUAAAUUUUAAGUUAUCUUCCUUGAACGACCGCACUUUGUAUGGAAAACCUGUGCGCGGAGGAACCAACUCGUAGCUAGUUGCGCCCUUACUUUGUUUCGAGUCCGCUCAACAACUUAAGUGAGCUGCAACUAGUUGCGACAAGGUUUCUUGUCGGUAGCGGCAUCGCCAGCAGGCUGCUGACGUCCCGCACUCAGCGCUCGCGGCUCAGGUACCUGCACCGGCAAGUUCCCUAAAAGCGUAGGGCAAAAACAUACAAAGGGAGGAAUCAAGUAAAGGGAAUAAUAUUGCAAUCAUUACCCAGAAUAGAAUUAUAUUACAAAGAUAGCUUGUCGCGGCUCUAACAGAUUGUUUUCAUAGCAUGACAAACAGCGACAAGAAAAGAAGAAAUGGGCGGCCUAAUCUACGCGAUCGCCCUCGAUCCUCUUGAUCCCGCUCACCUUGUCCACAAUGGGUGCGACAAGGGCCUUGAGCGCCUCCAGAUCGGCAUCCAACGGCAGGGUCUUGAGGAUGUUGGUGAGGUUGAGGCCCGGAUUGCGGAAGGCCACCUUCACCAACACUUUCUGAAGAGCUCCCGCACAGAUCUUGCGCGACUCGUCGGCCAGCUGCUUUGGGAUCCUCUCCCGGAGUCGCUGGAGGGCCGUCGCCACGCCCUUGAAGAACAAGACGAGCUUGGCGCUGGGUUGGAGGUUCUCGUCGGAGGGAUACCCGACAUCCUCCAUCCCCAGCUGCGCCAACUCCCUGUCAAUAUCUGCGGCAGUGCUCACGAGGCUCUCCGUCCAGUGCUCCACAUUUUCCCUGAAAGCAUUCUGGGUGGCGGCAACACUCUCCAACAGCGCCUUGUCGGCCUUGAUCUCUUUUUUCAAGGCCGUCUCCUGCUCCUUGGCGCCGUCCAGCGUCUUGGUCAAAGUGGUCAGCUUCAACUCAAGAUCCGCGUUGGAGUCUUUGGCGGCGCUGAGCUCUUUGCCCUUCUCGGCAAGAUCGGCCUCCAGCUGCACCACCUUCAUCUCCAGCUCCUUCUUGGCGGCCUCGGCAACUGCGGCAGCAUCCUCUGCUUGCUUAAGGGCUCCGCCGAGUUUUUCCUCGCGCACGGCAAGCUCCUCCUCGUGGGCGUCAAGAUUGACCUUCCGCUGCGCCAGCUCGCCCUCCUCCACGAAUAGCUUCACAGCGGCAAGUCGCUGUUGCUCUUCGACUUCAGCCUUCUCGAGGAGGAAGGCCUUCUGCACUUCGGCAAGCUGCUCCCGCUCCUCCGCCAGGGACCGGAGGGCUUCCUGGUGGAAACCCCCGAGCUCUUCCGCGCGCUUCUCGAUGUCUGCUCCCGCCUUCGCGACAAGCGCCUCGUGGGAUUCCAGCUUGGCUUGCCGCGCGCGGUAGAGCGACAACAACUUCCGCAGCAGCCGCUCCUCCUCAGGCUCGUUGCUGCUGCUGCUCGGCGCGUCAACCAGAGUCAGCCCAACGGAGGCAAGCACCUCCCCGUCGAAGAUCUCUCCCUCGACCGGCGCCCUGGAGCUCGAUGCCCAGGGAAGGUUGAUGAAGACGUCGUCGCCGGCCUUCAAGUAGACGCCUGGCUGGGGCUCUUCGGAGCCUGGCGCUGCGGCAGCAGCGGACGGGUCGGCGGUCGGUGUAGCACCUGGCGCUCCUAUGGCCUCAGGGCCGUCAGUGCGAUCACCAGACCCCUCGCCAGUUGCCGCGGCGGCAGCCUUGGCGGCCUCUGCGCCGGCGGGAUCGUCAGCACCGGCCGCUUCUUCGGCGGCAACCUCGGUCUCCAUCGGCUCCGUAGCAGAUGGGUCUGACAGCCGGGAAAGGGAAAAGAGUCAAGCAAAAACCCAAGAAGAUCAAAAGAAGAAGAACCCAAGGAAAGUUUUGAAGCGAAAGGAUUACCUGUGCCGGGUUCUGCAGUCGUGGUCUCCACCAUCGGGGGGCCGCUGGUGCUGUCCCUUGCCGGAGACUUCUCCCUUACCGGAAAGCCCUCCCUUGCCGGAGAGCUCUCCCUUGUCGGGGGACUCUCCCUUGGCUCCUGGUGGGGCUGCUCUGCUCCUACACAAACCAGCAGUAAGAUAUCAGCAAAGACAGAGUAUCCAUGCGCAUCUCACAGCGGAAAGCAAACCAUAUACUUACGCUGGGGGCUCCUCUGGAGAAAAGUUGCCGGGUCUGGCAAGGUUGUCUCGAGCGCACCCCCUGCUGUCGCAGUAGGUUCGUCCUCGAUGACAAUCACCGGGACUUUGGCUCUCUUUGCUGCUCUCUGGGCCAGAGUCCUAAAAAGGAACAAGUUCAGAGUCAAGCAAAUGAGAUACAAGACAAACAGCAAGGAUUGAAGAACUACAAGUACACCAAGGGAGUCUUACUCUUCUUCUUCUUCCUCGUCGGAGCUGAACGCGGAGAAGUCGAAGUCUGGCUCACGUCCGGCGCGAGGAGGCGGAGGAGUAGCUUCCCUUGGCCGCUUGGCGGGGGCAGUGGCGACAGUCUGAGACGACCCCGCUCCGGCUGUCGCCACGGCGUGAGAAGCGGCAGGAGUAGAAGCGGUGGUCUGGGAGGGCCCCGCUCCAGUUGCCGUCGCAGCGUGAGGUGCUCCUGCGGUAACAGUGCUUGCCGCGGUGGAACGUGUCACACGACGCGGCGACUGUUGCCUCGCCUGCCGCUCCGCUACGUCACCGACCUUGCAGAGACGCCUUCUUGGUGGGGAUGGAGGCUCUGCUUGCGGCGAGCUGUCUGAAGAUGAGGAGGAAGACGAGUUGAUCUCCAGCGAGCCGCUCGUAUCCUUGGCGGGCUCGCUCGACUCGACGUUAUGCCCGGCAAGCUCUUUCUUGCCGGCAGGCUCCCCUCGCUCGGCACGGCUUGCCGCCUCUGCUGCCUCUGCCUCCUCCAUGGUGAAUCCAAAUUCGCCUGCGGCUGCGGCUGCCGCCGCCUCUUCUAGCCUAGUGGUGAUGAGUGCCAUCUCCGCAUCGGUGGUGUCGCGGGUGAGGCUAUCUUUCUCGUCGGAGCGGAUCGGCACUUCUACCAAGUCAUCGAAGAAUUGCUGCACGACAUCGUCUGCAGGCUCUUGCCAAGUUGGGACAAUUCCAUGCGAGUCGCACAACGGCAUCAUUGCACGGAUGCGGUCGAGCGUGGAGUUGUUGCACAGCGGAACGAUCCCCCCCGGCAACCUGAAAACUUCGGGGUGUUGAGGGUCGUACUUGAACAGCUCCUGGAGCAUCGCGUUGAGCUCCAGAACUGUGAAGUUGAAGUUGAGGCCCGGCCGCAACCUCAUGAUAUCGGCCGCAUUCUUGAACUCCCAAGUGGGUCUCCCCCGUUCCUGCAGGGGGGCGAUGCAGCGACGAAGAAAAUCCGCGCCAACAGCACCUACAGUGAGCCCGGCAAGCCUGAGGCGUAGGAUCCGGGUGACAGCAAUCUUCAGCCUGUCGUCUUCCGGGGCCACGUCACUCCAAUCGCUGCCGCGUGCUACUAGGGUUUGGCGCCGGGUGGUGAAUGGCUGCGGGUUCUCCUCGUCAAUCCAGCACCAGUCUGCUCUCCACUCCUCCCACUUGCCGCGGAAUUCUCCCUCCAGAUAAGUUUCCUUCUUGCCGGCCCUUGAGAUCCAGGCGAUUCCGCCGGAUAAAGGCUCUCCUCUCUCUACUCGGGGUAUAAAGAAGUGGCGAAAGAGGGCUACAUUGGGAUGGACUCCGACAAAGUUUUCGCAGAGAUGUGCGAAAACUGCCAUGGUCAGAAUGGCAUUGGGGGUGAAGUCGAGGAGAUGGAACCCGUAGGUGUUCAUGAUAUCGCAGAAGAAUUCAGAGAAAGGCGGGCAGAGCCCGCAGUAGAAGAACAAGGCGAAGAAAGGGUAUCCAUUUGGGGCCUUCUUCCAAGCGGCGGCGGGAAGUACCUUCGUGCGCGGAUGCGCUCGUGUCUCCGUCGACCAGAAGAGGUAGCAGUUCUCCCUCAGCUCCCUCGUGGCAAGCUUGGGGGGGAAGACUGUCCGCUCCUUUUGCAGCGCCGCAAGCCGCUGCGCCUCGGUUGACUUCACGACCUUCCCCUUGUCGGCUUUUGGGGCCAUGGCGGAAGUGGUGGAGGAGGUCGACGGCGUUGGUGGUGCUGGUGGCGAUGGGGGGCGGAGCGCUGCUCUCUUUCGGCUUUGGGAAGACGAGGGAGCGGCGGAGAUUUUUGAGAUUGGAGCAGCAACGGGCGAAUGGACGAACUACUCCUGUUUCCCCUGCUUAUAAAGAGGGAGGGGGCGGACGUUCCGCAUUUCCGAAUAAAGAAACCACCCACGAUCUCUCCCACGACGCCGCAUUCAACGCGUGUCGUUCGGGAAGGGCGCAGUGGAUACGGAGAGAGAUACGGCGUAACCUAGGCCGCGCGUGCCCGUGCCCUGUUUUGGGCCUGGCCCAACAGCGCUCGGCACCGUGUAUGGCCCAGGCCCGGGGGCUCCUGUCGAUGUACUAGAGUAGGGGUACCCUACUAUCCCGAACUUGCGCACGGGCAGUCACAGCAUCCCGCGGCAAGGCUUGCCGGGUGACCGCCAAGGUCCUCCGUGGUUCCUUUGGAGCCAUUCAAGAACAAAGUAUCCAAACCAAGACACCACAAGACCCCGACAAGAGGAGCUUGCCGGGAGGGCCAACCAAGGCAAGGCGCUUAAGGAGACAAGACCCCGGCAAGAGGAGCUUGCCGGGAAGGCCACCCAAGGCAUCUCAAGGAACUUGCCACGGCGCGCCUCGCGUCCCGGCAAGGCCCGGUGAGCGACAAGCUCCCGGACGUGACAAGACAACGACCGCGGCAAGGCGCUUGCCGCGGCAAGCCACCACUCUGUGCCCGCGCUCCAGCACAUCCACCAACGUGUCGCUCUGGGACCCUUCCAGGCGUGCGUGGCGGGAGGCUGUGCAGCCAGCGGUGCGCAGUGGCAAGCGGCGCUGACAAGAUUGCCAUCGUGGCGAGCGGUGGCGUCCCUGACGGUCCCUUUUGCACUGUUUAGGCGACACAGACGGGCAUUUAAUGCCCUUGUCCCCUGCCAUCAGGGUUAGGUAUGAUACACUAUAGCAGGUAGUUGUACCUACUGCAGCUCCUUUCCAUUUUUACCCUUUGUCUCCGUUGCCACCUGUCGGUGACCCCUUGAGCAUAUAAAAGGAGGCCCAUGUGCAACGUAGAGGGGGGUUCGGAAAAAAGAGAACACUCAGGCUCGGUCUCGUUAGCCGCUGGUGUGUACUGUAGCACUCCGCGCUCCCGAGCAAGAACCCAAUACAAACCACAAAGCAGGAGUAGGGUUUUACGCAUCCGUGCAGCCCGAACCUGGGUAAACUGCUCGUGUGCUUUGCCUCGAUCCGCUCUUCGUGCGACCUCCGCCCCCGCCGAACCGAAAGGGACUCGGUCCGCCGGUCCCAUAGGUGUUCGUGGAUUAGUCCCCCGACACCACCGUCGUGUCCGGAUCAUCCACAAACAUCUACAAAACAUCACCGUUUUCUUAUUUGGACUCCCUAGCUAUUUUAUUCGCGACCGUCCGAUUAAGAUCGGAGGGACCAGAUGCCCCUAACUCAAACCCACCUACUAUAUAUAUCUAGACAACCCACCUAAUUUCUAGGGAUCCUACCUCGUGCCGCCGCCACACUCUUUCUCGGGAUCCCUCCCAAUCCAAACCCACCAAUCACCAGACCUCUCUCGAUCCCCUCUGCCCGAGCUCCUCCCGCAGCUCCCCAUCGCCCUCGACCCUGCCUCGUCGUCCGGCCGACACCGGCGACCGAAACCUCGCCGGAGAUGAGUACCUCAACAGCCCCGCUCCUUUUUCCCUCCUGCUUCUCAACCUCUCCUUCUCACGAUCUUCCCUUUCCUUUCUCUAUUUUCUCUCACAGGGAUCCAUGGCGCUGCCGCUUGGAGCUCUGCCUCCUUCGGCCACCUCCUCGCCUCGUCGCCAUCGACCUGCAGAGGGACACGCCAUGGCCACCCUCGUCUUCAAGUCGCGUCGCCCGCGCCCGGAUUUGGCGCCCUCAGCAUGCCCAUGCACGGGUUCCGCGCAUCCCCGUCCUCUCCUGCAACCCUUUAUCGAACUCCAUGGGCAGCCUCCCAUGUUUGACUCUUUGCGCCGCCCCGUUUGACCUCCAGUUCCAGUCCCUCAUCGCCACCACUUCGCCAGGCGCCUCGUCAUCGGGGAGCACCCCAGCACUGCUGUUGUACUCCUCUUCUUUCUUCUCUCUCCCCCCUUUUCCUUUCCCGUCGCUCUCCAAGUUCUCUGAACUCUCUGUCUUUCUUCAGGAGUUGCAGCAACCUUCGAGUUCGAGCAGCCGCCUCCUGCACGGAUCGAAGACCUCCUGUUGCUCGGAUCUUGACGCCGCUGAGCUCCCAUGUCGGAUCGGACUCCUCCACGCAUCCCCGACCUCUGGCCUCGCUGUGCCGUCCCCGUGCAGGUUCCUGCCUCUGCCUCGUCCUCGUCUGAGCAGAGGACGACUGCUUCUUCAUCGCGCGCAAGGGCUGCAGCCGCGGCAAGGCCCAGCCAGCGUCUCUGCCAGCAGCCUUGCGCCCCCCCAACUGGGCCUCAGCCCACUAGGUGAAGCCACACCCCAGCGCCCCACCUUCCUUUCCUAUUGUUGGGCCAGAUUCUUGUUUCGGCCCGUAAUGUGUUUUUUAGAUCUGGUGUUUUUGUCUUUUUUUCCAGAGGCUGCCAGCUUUACAGAAAACCCCGCAUAGUUCUUGCAUAUAAUAACUCCCAAUUGGUGCAUCGGAUUAAAAUGAAUUAUAUAUGAAAAUGCUUAGAAUUAUGUGUAGGUUAAUCAUUUGCAACUUUCAUCCAUGUUUAAAAUGUUUAAAAUGUUGUUUGGUUAAAUUUGCUCCUAUGCCAUGCUAAAAUGAUUUAUUUCAUAACUAAAUAACUGUAACUCGGAAUUUAAUAAACUUUAUAUGUAAAUGGGGUGGAAAAUGCCUAGUUUAACAUGGUGUCCUCACUUUGCAUGUUUAACAACUAUAAAAUAUGGUUUAGGGCAGAACAGUACCAAAUCUAUAAUAUGCGCAUGAGGAGUUUCUGGACUUGUUGUUUGUUGUUCCGGCCUCAUUUAAACUUGCCUAGAUAGGUAGUUAUCAUUUGCUUCACCCCUUGCCAUGUUAAUCAACAUUUAAUAUUGUUGGGUACAUAAACGAGAUCGAACUAAAUAACUUGAAUGUGGUGUUUGUUAAUAUGCAUCCCGAUGCAUAUUGAGCUCCACUUAAUUUGUAGGAUUGCUUGUGCAUUUUGCCAUGCCAUGCUUCAUUAAACCGGACAUGCAUCAUACUCGAUUGUGCAUCAUGCCAUGUUUAUGUGAUGGUUGUUUACUUUGUUGUUUCUUUCUUUCUGGGUUACUUCUCGCGUUAGCUUCGGUUUUGUUCCGGAGUUGUGAGGAUCCGUUCAUCUACGUCCGUUUGUCUUCUUCAUGGACUCGUUCUUCUUCCUUGCGGGAUUUCAGGCAAGAUGACCAUACCCUCGAAAUCACUUCUAUCUUUGCUUGCUAGUUGCUCGCUCUUUUGCUAUGCCUAUGCCGUGAUACCUACCACUUGAUUAUCAUGCCUCCUAUAUUGUUGAGCCAAGCCUCUAACCCACCUUGUCCUAGAAAACCGUUGUUUGGCUAUGUUACCGCUUUGCUCAGCCCCUCUUAUAGCGUUGUUAGUUGCAGGUGAAGAUUGGAGCUUGUUCCAUAUUGGAACAUGGAUAUUUUGUUGGGAUAUCACAAUAUCUCUUAUUUAAUUAAUGCAUCUAUAUACUUGGUAAAGGGUGGAAGGCUCGGCCUUAUGCCUGGUGUUUUGUUCCACUCUUGCCGCCCUAGUUUCCGUCAUAUCGGUGUUAUGUUCCCGGAUUUUGCGUUCCUUACGUGGUUGAGUUAUAAUGGGAACCCCUUGACAGUUCGCCUUGAAUAAAACUCCUCCAGCAAUGCCCAACAUUGGUUUUACCAUUCGCCACCUAGCCUCUUUUUCCCUUGGGAGUCGCGCUCCUGAGGUCAUCAUUAUUUUACCCCCCGGGCCAGUGCUCCUCUGAGUGUUGGUCCAAACUAGAGCCCUGUGCAUCGCCCCCUUGGGGAAACUCGAGGUUUGGUUUUAGUUGUAUGGAGAGCUCAUCUGAGUGUGCCCUGAGAAUGAGAUAUGUGCAGCUCCUAUCGGGAUUUGUCGGCACAUUCGGGCGGUGUUGCUGGACUUGUUUUACCAUUGUCGAAAUGUCUUGUAACCUGGAUGCCGAGUCUGAUCGGAAUGUCUUGGGAGAAGGAAUAUCCUUCGUUGACCGUGAGAGCUUGUGAUGGGCUAAGUUGGGACACCCCUGCGGGGAUUUGAACUUUCGAAAGCCGUGCCCGCGGUUAUGGGCAGAUGGGAAUUUGUUAAUGUUCGGUUGUAGAUAACAUGAAACUUAACUUAAUUAAGAUACACCAACCGCGUGUGUUACCGUGAUGGUCUCUUCUCGGUGGAGUCCGGGAAGUGAACACGGUGUUGGAGUAAUGCUUGACGUAGGUUGUUCUAGGAUCACUUCUUGAUCACAGUUUCUCGAUCGUGCUCUGAUUGUAUCUGGUUGAUGUAAUGCUUUAUUCAUGUAAUUGUGCAGUCUGUGCCAUCAGGCUCGGGGUGCUCAGGGGGAAACCUCAGAUCUGGGUCUUCCGGAUCGGAUGAUGAUGGCGUUUUACCGCUUUCCCUUCUGGGGGCAUCGUUUUGGAGCAAGUGCUGGCUGGAGGGAUGGUGGAGCGGUGCUUCAUCUCACACAUUGAUGGCGGCGGAGAUCGAUGGCAUGGCGCUGUGGAGACUCGACGUCCGAUGCGCGGAGAUGGGCUCGCGCAGGAGGAGGUUGCUAUCUGGCGUCAUGGUGACGUCGAUGGCAGAGUGGCCAGACAGGGUAGAAGCCUCAAUAUGAUCUGAAGACCUGUGGAAGAUGGCGACGACGACACACGAGUGCGUCUGACCAGAUUGUCCUGGUAGGUGGCUCGGCUGGGGAGUCCGAAUGAGUUUCGGCUUCCGGCUUUUGAUGUUAGGCUUAGGUGACUGGUCUGGGUAGUGGCCCAGCUAGCACCCCUUCAUCAUAUUGGAUAGGAGUAGCGGCAUAUGUUGCCUAGAUGGUGGAUUCAGACACAUUGUUGUAAUACUUUGUACGGUCCUCGUGAAUAAUCAAUAAAGUGGCCGUAUGCAUCUCCCAGAUGCAGAGGCCGGGGGUCAUCCUCCUUUUCUAAAAAAAAAUGUAAUUGUGUGAAGUGGCGAUUGUAAGCCAACUAUGUAUCUCUUUCCCUUAUGUAUUACAUGGGUUGUGUGAAGAUUACCUCACUUGCGACAUUGCUUUCAAUGCGGUUAUGCCUCUAAGUCGUGCUUCGACACAUGGGAGAUAUAGCCGCAUCGAGGGCGUUCCAAGAGGUUUGUAGGACAAUAUCAAAUUUCCCUCAAGUGGAUGACCUAAGGUUUAUCAAUCCGUAGGAGGCGUAGGAUGAAGAUGGUCUCUCUCAGGCAACCCUGCAACCAAAUAACAAAGAGUCUCUUGUGUCCCUAACACACCGAAUACAAUGGUAAAUUGUAUAGGUGCACUAGUUCGGCGAAGAGACGGUGAUACAAGUGGUAUAUGGAUAAUAGAUAAAGGUAUUUGUAAUCUGAAAAUAUAAAAACAGCAAGGUAACUAAUGAUAAAAGUGAGCGUAAACGAUAUUGCAAUGCUAGGAAACAAGGCCUAGGGUUCAUACUUUCACUAGUGUAAGUUCCCUCAACAAUACUAACAUAAUUGGAUCACAUAACUAUCCCUCAACAUGCAACAAAGAGUCACUCCAAAGUCACUAAUAGCGGAGAACGAACAAAGAGAUUAUGGUAGGGUACGAAACCACCUCAAAGUUAUUCUUUCCAAUCAAUCUGUUGGGCUAUUCCUAUAAUUGUCACAAACAGCCCUAGAGUUCGUAAUAGAAUAACACCUUAAGACACAAAUCAACCAAAACCCUAAUGUCACCUAGAUACUCCAAUGUCACCUCAAGUAUCCAUGGGUAUGAUUAUACGAUAUGCGUCACACAAUCUCAGAUUCUAUUCAACCAACACAAAGGACCUCAAAGAGUGCCCCAAAGUUUCUACCAGAGAAUCACGACGAAAACGUGUGCCAACCCCUAUGCAUAGGUUCAUGGGCGGAACCCGCAAGUUGGUCACCAAAAAAUACAUCAAGUGGCAUGUGGUAUCCCAUUGUCACCACAGAUAUCCACGGCAAGACAUACAUCAAGUGUUCUCAAAACUUUAAAGACUCAAUCGGAUAAGAUUACUUCAAAGGGGAAACUCAAUUCAUUACAAGAGAGAAGAGGGGGAGGAGAAACAUAAGAUCCAACUAUAAUAGCAAAGCUCGCGAUACAUCAAGAUCAUGCCAAAUCAAGAACACGAGAGAGAGAGAGAGAGAUCAAACACAUAGCUACUGGUACAUACCCUCAGCCCCGAGGGAGAACUACUCCCUCCUCGUCAUGGAGAGCAUCGUGAUGAUGAAUAUGGCCACUAAGGAAGGAUUUCCCCCUCCGGCAGGGUGCCGGAACGGGUCUAGAUUGGCUUUCGGUGGCUACGGAGGCUUAUGGCGGCGGAACUCCCGAUCUAUUGUCCGUUCUGGAAGUUUUAGGGUAUAUGGAGUUAUAUAGGCAGAAGAAGCACGUCAGGGGAGCCACGAGGGCCCCACGAGGCAGGGGGGCACGCCCCUACCCUCGUGAGCUCCUCCUUCCUUCCUUGACGUGGGGUCCAAGUCCAUCGGGUGGCUUUCGUUCCAAAAAUAACUUCUCUAGUUGAUUUCGUUCCAUUUCAACUCCGUCUGAUAUUCCUUUUCUUCAAAACACUGAAAUAGGCAUAAAACAGCAAAUCUGGGUUGGGCCUCCGGUUAAUAGGUUAGUCCCGAAAGUAAUAUAAAAGUGGAUAAUAAUGCCCAAUAACGCCCAAAACAGUAGAUAAUAUAGCAUGGAGCAAUCAAAAAUUAUAGAUACAUUGGAGACGUAUCAAGCAUCCCCAAGCUUAUAUCCUGCUCGUCCUCGAGUAGGUAAAUGAUAAAAAAGAUAAUUUUUGAUGUGGAAUGCUAGUUGUCAUAAUUUCAAUGUAAUUCUUCUUACUUGUGAUAUGAAUAUUCAGAUCCGAAAGAUUCAAGACAAAAGUUCAUAUUGACAUAAAAAUGAUAAUACUUCAAGCAUACUAACUAAGCAAUCAUGUCUUCUCAAAAUAACAUGGCUAAAGAAAGCUAUCCCUACAAAAUCAUAUAGUCUGGCUAUGCUCCAUCUUCACCACACAAAGUAUUUAAAUCAUGCACAACCCCGAUGACAAGCCAAGCAAUUGUUUCAUACUUUUGAUGUUCUCAAACCUUUUCAAUCUUCACGCAAUACAUGAGCGUGAGCCAUGGACAUAGCACUAUAGGUGGAAUUGAAUGGUGGUUGUGGAGAAGAAAAAAAGGGAGAAGAUAGUCUCACAUCAACCAGGCGUAUCAACGGGCUAUGGAGAUGCCCAUCAAUAGAUAUCAAUGUGAGUGAGUAGGGAUUGCCAUGCAACGGAUGCACUAGAGCUAUAAGUAUAAGAAAGCUCAAAAAGAAACUAAGUGGGUGUGCAUCCAACUUGCUUGCUCAUGAAGACCUAGGGCAAUUGACACUAGUAGAAAAAGGGUCAAAUGUGAAGCACAUUAGUGCCGGUUUGAAUUUGAGCCGGCAAUAAUGUGACCAUUAGUGCCGGUUCCAACGGCUAGGCGGGCGGGCAUCAUUAGUACCGGUUCAUGGGCAACCUUUAGUACCGGUUCAUGCCACGAACCGGUACUAAUGAGGCCAGUGCGGCUGUGGUCAGGCUGGGGCCCCCACGAAGACCUUUAGUACCGGUUCAUGGCAUGAACCGGUACUAGAGUUUCUUAGUAAGCUGAUUUUUAGUCCCACCUCGCCAAGAGAGAGGCAGUAUGAGCGGUUUAUAAGCCGUGAGUGCAGAGACAAUGACGAAGAGGCGCAAUGCUCACCUGCACGUUGAUUAGCUUCAAGCCUUUCGGAAUAGCAUAGAUUGCACUGAGCUAUGUGUAGUGCAGUCUACACUAUUCCGAAAGGCUUGAAGCAAAUUAACCAGCAUUGCACCUCUUUUUUAUUUUUAAUAACUUAUUUGAACUCCGGACUUCUUUUGUGUUUAGUAUGCAGCAUUCAAAGCAACGUCAUCAAUUUCCAACAUGUUCUGACAUCAUUUGUUGUUUUUCGGUCAUUACCUAAUUGUUUAGAGAGCUAAAUGACCGUGAAAUUGAAAAUCACUACAAAAUGAAUUCUAAAAAUGUUGAAAAUUGGCAUGGUAUCAUCAUUUCACCCGCAUAGCAUGUGCGAAAGAGUAGAGAGGGUCACGGCAUAAAUUGGACAAACUCUUUCGGAGUAUCAGGGUUUCGGACGAGAACUCAUUUGUUACACGGGCACUUCAAUGUUUUUUAAACUUAUUUGAACUCUGGACAUCUUUUGUGUUCAGUAUGCAACAUUCAAAGUGACGUCAUCAAUUUUCAACAUGUUCUGACAUCAUUUNNNNNNNNNNNNNNNNNNNNNNNNNNNNNNNNNNNNNNNNNNNNNNNNNNNNNNNNNNNNNNNNNNNNNNNNNNNNNNNNNNNNNNNNNNNNNNNNNNNNNNNNNNNNNNNNNNNNNNNNNNNNNNNNNNNNNNNNNNNNNNNNNNNNNNNNNNNNNNNNNNNNNNNNNNNNNNNNNNNNNNNNNNNNNNNNNNNNNNNNNNNNNNNNNNNNNNNNNNNNNNNNNNNNNNNNNNNNNNNNNNNNNNNNNNNNNNNNNNNNNNNNNNNNNNNNNNNNNNNNNNNNNNNNNNNNNNNNNNNNNNNNNNNNNNNNNNNNNNNNNNNNNNNNNNNNNNNNNNNNNNNNNNNNNNNNNNNNNNNNNNNNNNNNNNNNNNNNNNNNNNNNNNNNNNNNNNNNNNNNNNNNNNNNNNNNNNNNNNNNNNNNNNNNNNNNNNNNNNNNNNNNNNNNNNNNNNNNNNNNNNNNNNNNNNNNNNNNNNNNNNNNNNNNNNNNNNNNNNNNNNNNNNNNNNNNNNNNNNNNNNNNNNNNNNNNNNNNNNNNNNNNNNNNNNNNNNNNNNNNNNNNNNNNNNNNNNNNNNNNNNNNNNNNNNNNNNNNNGCGAAAGAGUAGAGAGGGUCGCGGCCAAAACUGGAUGCACUUUGUGUACAAACUGGAUAAACUCUUUCGGAGUAUCAGGGUUUCGGACGAGAACUCAUCUGUUACACGGGCACUUCAAUGUUUUUAAACUUAUUUGAACUCCGGACUUCUUUUGUGUUCAGUAUGCAGCAUUCAAAGCGACGUCAUCAAUUUCCAACAUGUUCUAACAUCAUUUGUUGUUUUUCGGUCAUUCACCUAAUUGUUUAGAGAGCUUAAUGACCGUGAAAUUGAAAAUCACUACAAAAUGAACUCUGAAAAUGUUGAAACUUGGCAUGGUAUCAUCAUUUCACCCGCAUAGCAUGUGCGAAAGAGUAGAGAGGGUCCCGGCAAAAACUGGACGCACUUCGUGUACAAACUGGACAAACUCUUUCGGAGUAUCAGUGUUUCGGACGAGAACUCAUCUGUUACACGGGCACUUCAAUGUUUUUUAAACUUAUUUGAACUCCGGACUUCUUUUGUGUUCAGUAUGCAGCAUUCAAAGCGACGUCAUCAAUUUCCAACAUGUUCUGACAUCAUUUGUUGUUUUUCGGUCAUUUACCUAAUUGUUUAGAGAGCUAAAUGACCGUGAAAUUGAAAAUCAUUACAAAAUGAACUCUGAAAAUGUUGAAACUUGGCAUGGUAUCAUCAUUUCACCAGCAUAGCAUGUGUGAAAGAGUAGAGAGGGUCACGGCAAAAACUGGACGCACUUUGUGUACAAACUGGACAAACUCUUUCGGGGUAUCAGGGUUUCGGACGAGAACUCAUCUGUUACACGGGCACUUCAAUGUUUUUUAAAAUUAUUUGAACUCCAGACUUCUUUUGUGUUCAGUAUGCAGCAUUCAAAGCGACGUCAUCAAUUUCCAACAUGUUCUGACAUCAUUUGUUGUUUUUCGGUCAUUUACCUAAUUGUUUAGAGAGCUAAAUGACCGUAAAAUUGAAAAUCACUACAAAAUGAAUUCUGAAAAUGUUGAAACUUGCAAUGGUAUUAUCAUUUCGGAGUAUCAGAGUAGAGAGGGUCACAAAAAAACUACUCAGAAAUAAAUAGAAGAAAAUAAAUAAAGCAGAAAAGAAUAAAACUAUAUAAAAAAUUACUCAAAAAUAAAUAGAAGAAAAUAAAUAAUGCAGAAAACAAAAAACUAUAUAAAAAAUUNNNNNNNNNNNNNNNNNNNNNNNNNNNNNNNNNNNNNNNNNNNNNNNNNNNNNNNNNNNNNNNNNNNNNNNNNNNNNNNNNNNNNNNNNNNNNNNNNNNNNNNNNNNNNNNNNNNNNNNNNNNNNNNNNNNNNNNNNNNNNNNNNNNNNNNNNNNNNNNNNAAAAAACUAUAUAAAAAUUACUCAAAAAUAAACAGAAGAAAAUAAAUAAUGCAGAAAAGAAAAAACUAUAUAAAAAAAUUGUUGGGGCGCUGCCCAGUGGGCCUGCCAGACCUAGGGUGUGCAAAUGCGCUCUAGUUAGGCCCAGCAGACUCACAGGGCAGCGCGCCCUAGUUAGGCCCAGAAGACAGAUAUAUUGAGAAGCUCGAAGGAGCAGCAGCGGCUGGGUUUAUAAACCAGUGCGGCUGCCCUUCGCUUGGCGAGGUGGGACUAAACGUUGUGCACCGCCGGUGGCAGCGCACAACCAUUAGUACCGGUUGGUGGCUCCAACCGGUACUAAUGAUUGGGCCUUUAGUACCGGUUCGUGGCACGAACCGGUACUAAAGGGGCCGUUUCCCGCCCCUUGGCCUGGCGAAAAUUGGCCUUUAGUAUCGGUUGGUGGCUCCAACCGGUACUAAAGGCCCCUCCCAUAUAUAUGGCACUUAGAAAAAUUCAGUUUCAUCGACCACCACUUCUUCUCGAUCCAACUUCUUCGCCGCGCCCGUCGCCCAUCGCGCGCCGCCCUCGCCGCCCCCGCCGCCCGUCGUCGCCGUCACCGCCGUUGCCCCCACCACCCGUCGUCGCNNNNNNNNNNNNNNNNNNNNNNNNNNNNNNNNNNNNNNNNNNNNNNNNNNNNNNNNNNNNNNNNNNNNNNNNNNNNNNNNNNNNNNNNNNNNNNNNNNNNNNNNNNNNNNNNNNNNNNNNNNNNNNNNNNNNNNNNNNNNNNNNNNNNNNNNNNNNNNNNNNNNNNNNNNNNNNNNNNNNNNNNNNNNNNNNNNNNNNNNNNNNNNNNNNNNNNNNNNNNNNNNNNNNNNNNNNNNNNNNNNNNNNNNNNNNNNNNNNNNNNNNNNNNNNNNNNNNNNNNNNNNNNNNNNNNNNNNNNNNNNNNNNNNNNNNNNNNNNNNNNNNNNNNNNNNNNNNNNNNNNNNNNNNNNNNNNNNNNNNNNNNNNNNNNNNNNNNNNNNNNNNNNNNNNNNNNNNNNNNNNNNNNNNNNNNNNNNNNNNNNNNNNNNNNNNNNNNNNNNNNNNNNNNNNNNNNNNNNNNNNNNNNNNNNNNNNNNNNNNNNNNNNNNNNNNNNNNNNNNNNNNNNNNNNNNNNNNNNNNNNNNNNNNNNNNNNNNNNNNNNNNNNNNNNNNNNNNNNNNNNNNNNNNNNNNNNNNNNNNNNNNNNNNNNNNNNNNNNNNNNNNNNNNNNNNNNNNNNNNNNNNNNNNNNNNNNNNNNNNNNNNNNNNNNNNNNNNNNNNNNNNNNNNNNNNNNNNNNNNNNNNNNNNNNNNNNNNNNNNNNNNNNNNNNNNNNNNNNNNNNNNNNNNNNNNNNNNNNNNNNNNNNNNNNNNNNNNNNNNNNNNNNNAAGUGUUUAAUGUUUCACCUAUAUAUGAACAUAUGUUAGAUAUUAAUGUCAAAUGUUAGAUGAAUUAGAUAUGAAUUAUAUGUUAGAUAUAUAUUUAAUUUAGUUAUAUGAGAUUUCAUUAUCUAAUUAACAUUUUAUUAUAUAGAACUAGCUACCUUAUUUUAGUAAGAAAAUUAAUAGAACUAGUUUAGUUGAAUUAGUUGAAUUAAUUAGUUGAACUAGUUAGUUGAAUUAGUUCAAUUAAUUAGGUAUAUUUUUUGUAAGUGCUUAGUUGAAUUAGUUCAAUUAAUUAGUUGAACUAGUUGAAUUAACAGAAUUAGUUGAAUUAAUAGAACUAAUAAGUGUUUAAUGUUUCACCUAUGAAUAUAGGAAUGUCGUCUGACGACGAACACGAUUUCAUUAUGUGCGAAUACUGCGAAGACCAGCGCGGCCUGUGCGGCAGAAAUUUUCUAGUUGAUGAUAGACGCUUCAGCAUCAAUCUGGAUGAGAACUUCAAAGUGGAUACAGUAAGUCACAAUGACAAGUCUUUUUUCGUAAUUAAGCAUGACUUAUGCUUCAUUUGCUUCAACUUUUAAUUUUAAUUUUUCACUAUUCUACUAGCGUAUCCACUGCCAUGCAAGAAUUUUUUGUCUUGGAUAAGAUAGGUUUCAGUCCUAACGAAACUAUGGAGGUAAAAAGAGUUUACUUGAAGACCGAGUAUGGUUAUACCUUCAACGUCAAAUUAUACAAUGCAGACACAUACACCUAUUUUGAAUGCAAAACUUGGCAAGCAGUAUGCAAGGCUUAUGCAUUUGAGCCUGGUAUGGUUAUCACCUUUGAUAUUCGUCCGGAAGAUGAUAUUGAAGGUAAUAGAGACAUCUGGGUCGAUGUGCAGACGCCUCCAGUUCUACCAUUAUGUGAGUUUCUCAACCAUAUUUAUGUCUUCGAUAUGAGAUUAUUUGAACCAGUUGAAUAAUUAAUAGAUCUCAAUUUAUAUUGACAGCUUACUUCCAAUCAAGCAAACAUGUCCGGCGCUUGGUAGACAGGACCGUCCACUGUCCGGGGGCUGAACUAAACUGCGAGGAGACAAGUCAUUAUGUUUCAUGGCUUGAGGAUCUUGAUGCUGUCAAGACAAAUUUCUUUCCUGCACUUAGAAAUGUUAGUACUCAAAACGUGCGACCAAUAGUGUUCGUACUGAACUACGGUCACAUAUAUUUAGGAAAGAUGGUAAGAUUUCUACUAUUUCUCCUCAGUGCAUCUUUUGCAUACAUUAUUUUUAAGCUAAACUUCAUUGCUAAGUAUGUUACUAUACGAUGUUCUUCAACAGGGACUCCCGAUGAAUGUUGUGCCUAAUUGGAUCGAGACUAAAGGUACCAUGAAUAUUGUUAGCUUACGGCCAAGAUAUCCUACAAUGCACUUUAGUGCAUUCAGGAUUUCUAAUAGCGAGGAAUGCUUAAUAGUAAAAGACUGGAGCAAAAUUGUGAACGAUCACAGAGAAGUACUAGGGGGCAGCAAUCAGAAGCGCAACCCACGAUUAGGAGACAGGUUCAUAUGCAUGCUCCAAUAUGAUGAAUCAGCAAAGCUAUACAUGUUCUAUGCUAUUUUACUUGAGAGAGAGCAGCAGGAGUGAUUAAUUAGCUAGUUCAUGCUCUUAGUACUUGUCCUCUCAUGUCCGUGUUCUUCGUCCUGAACUUAAUCUCAAAAAGUGAUUUGCUUUUGUGGUGUUAUGAACGCUUAUAAUAUCAUUACCAUGUUGAACUCGAUGAUAUCUUUGCUAUGAAAACCGUUGGUGAUGAUAUAUAUGAUGCAAGAGUUUUAUAUUAAUAUGAUGAUGAUGAUGAUGAGUUAUUAUAUCAUUUAUGAAAGAAACUGCAUAUUAGUUUCAACUGGAUGGAUUCUAGCUAAGUGAUCAAGUAUAUGCCAUAUCCAUAUUACCUCGAUCACUUAAGUAGGUGAUCAAGUAUAUAUAAUAUGGAUAUGACAUAUACUUGAUGACUUAGUUAGGAUCCAUGCAUCCAGUCAAACUAAUCUGCGGUCAUUGUUGAGGAAAUCGUUAACUGGUAGCUGCUCGGUCGGCUGGUGAGUAGGCGAUUAAUAGGCUAAUCGGCAAGUUAAUCGGCCAUUUAAUCAAUUAGUCGGACGAUUUAUCGGGUAAUCGGCUACUCGGGGACCCUAUGAGUAGGGAUUAAUCGGCAAGUUAACUGGUUAAUCGGAUGAAUUCUUGAACAGGGUCUGCGAUACAUUCACCUAAUGAUUUAACAACUCAUUAUAAUGUAAAACAAUCACUAAAUUAAAUUGAAAACACAAAAUUAAAGUAAAAAUAAAAAAUAAAACCAAAACACACCCAAACAUUUAGUACCGGUUGGUGUUACCAACCGGUACUAAUGUCCUACGCGCCCACGGAGCUGGCUCGUGCCACGUGGUUGCCCUUUAGCACCGGUUCGUGCUGAACCGGUACUAAAAGGGGGGGCUUUAGUGCCCACAAUUUAGUGCCGGUUACCGAACCGGCACUAAAGGGCCUUAUGAACCGGUGCUAUUGCCCGGUUCUGCACUAGUGUGAGGAGGCCCAUUGUUGGAAUAUACAAGCCAAGUUCUAUAACGAAAGAUUCCCACUAGUAUAUGAAAGUGACAACAUAGGAGACUCUCUAUCAUGAAGAUCAUGGUGCUACUUUGAAGCACAAGUGUGGUAAAAGGAUAGUAGCAUUGUCCCUUUUAUUUUAUUUUUUAUUUUUUAUUUGGCCUUUCCUUUUUUUAUUUGGCCUUCCCUUUUUUUAUUUGGCCUUUCUCUUUUUUUUUGGGACAAUGCUCUAUUGAAUGAUGAUUAUCACACUUCUAUCUAUUUACAACUCAAUGAUUACAACUCGAUACUAGAACAAAGUAUGACUCUAUAUGAAUGCCUCCGGCGGUGUACCGGGAUGUGCAAUGAAUCAAGAGUGACAUGUAUGAAAGAAUUAUGAAUGGUGGCUUUGCCACAAAUACUGUGUCAACUACAUGAUCAUGCUAAGCAAUAUGACAAUGAUGAAUGUGUCACGAUGAACAGAAUGAUGGAAAGUUGCAUGGCAAUAUAUCUCGGAAUGGCUAUGGAAAUGCCAUAAUAGGUAGGUAUGGUGGCUGUUUUGAGGAAGGUAUAUGGUGGGUUUAUGGUACCGGCGAAAGUUGCGCGGUACUAGAGAGGCUAGCAAUGGUGGAAGGAUGAGAGUACGUAUAAUCCAUGGACUCAACAUUAGUCAUAAAGAACUCACAUACUUAUUGCAAAAAUCUAUUAGUUAUCGAAACAAAGUACUACGCGCAUGCUCCUAGGGGGAUAGAUUGGUAGGAAAAGACCAUCACUUGUCCCCGACCGCCACUCAUAAGGAAGGCAAUCAAUAAAUAAAUCAUGCUCCGACUUCAUCACAUAACGGUUCACCAUACGUGCAUGCUACGGGAAUCACAAACUUCAACACAAGUAUUUCUCAAAUUCACAACUACUCAACUAGCAUGACUCUAAUAUUACCAUCCUCAUAUCUCAAAACAAUCAUCAAGUAUCAAACUUCUCUUAGUAUUCAACACACUCAUAAGAGAAUUUUAUUAUUCUUGAAUACCUAGCAUAUUAGGAUUUUAAGAAAAUUACCAUGCUAUUUAAGACUCUCAAAAUAAUCUAAGUGAAGCAUGAGAGUUCGUCUAUUUCUUCAAAAUAAAACUACCACCAUGCUCUAAAAGAUAUAAGUGAAGCACUAGAGCAAAUGACAAACUAUUCCGAAAGAUAUGAGUGAAGAUCAAUGAGUAGUUGAAUAAUUAUGCAACCAUGUGGAGACUCUCUAAAAUUUAAUAAUUUCAGAUCUUGGUAUUCUAUUCAAACAGCAAGAAAAGCAAAAUAAAAUGACAUCUAAGAAUAGAAAACAUCAUGUGAGUAAGCAAAAACUUAGGAUCAACCGAAACUAACCGAUAGUUGUUGAAGAAGAAAGGUGGGAUGCCAACCGGGGCAUCCCCAAGCUUAGACGCUUGAGACUUCUUGAAAUAUUAUCUUGGGGUGCCUUGGGCAUCCCCAAUCUUGAGCUUUUGUGUCUCCUUAAUUCCUCUCAUAUCAAGGUCUCCCUAAAUCUCAAAAGCUUCAUCCACACAAACCUCAACAAGGACUCGUGAGAUAAGUUAGUAUAAACCAUUGCAAAAACCUUAUCAUAAUCUACUGUAGCAAAUCAGUAAAAUUAUUAUUCAACAUUGCAUACUAAAUGCCUCUGCAUAUUUAAUAGUCCUAUCCUAAAAUAGAAUCAUUAAAGAAGCAAACAUAUGCAAACAAUGCAAACAUAACAGCAAUCUGCCUAAACAGGAUAGUCUGUAAAGAAUGCUGCAACAUCCAUACUUCCCUAGCUCCAAAAAUUAUGAAAGAAAAUUCCCACUGUAGUAAAUUUAGCAGAGCUUAAUAUUCAAAAGGUUUCAACAUUUUAUCAUAUUCUGACUUUUCUAGGGAAUUAUUGCAACAGCGGUAAACUUUCUGUUUUCAAACAGCAACAUGAAGACUUGUAACAUAGGCAUAGUAAAGACUAUCAAUGCCACUUUUAUUGGAAUAAAAUAUGAAAAACAAUGUUCUAAAUAACAGCAAGAAAAUCCUAACAAAAUAAAUUUACGCUCCAAGCAAAACACAUAUCAUGUGGCGAAUAAAAAUAUAGCUCCAAGUAAAGUUACCGAUGAACGAAGACGAAAGAGGGGAUGCCUUCCGGGGCAUCCCCAAGCUUAGGCUCUUGGUUGUCCUUGAAUAUUACCUUGGGGUGCCUUGGUCAUCCCCAAGCUUAGGCUCUUGACACUCCUUAUUCCAUAGUCCAUCGAAUCCUUACCCAAAACUUGAAAACUUCACAACACAAAACUUAACAGAAAACUCGUAAGCUCCGUUAGUAUAAGAAAAUAAAUCACCACUUAAAGGUACUGUAAUGAACUCAUUAUUUAUUUAUAUUGGUGUUAAUCCUACUGUAUUUCAACUUCUCUAUGGUUUAUAAACUAUUUUACUAGCCAUAGAUUCAUCGAAAUAAGCAAACAACACACGAAAAACAGAAUCUGUCAAAAACAGAACAGUCUGUAGUAAUCUGGAUCAAACGUAUACUUCUGGAACUCAUAAAAUUCUCAAAUAAAUUUCUGGACCUAAGUAAUUUGUCUAUUAAUCAUCUUCAAAAAGAAUUAUCUAAAUAUCACUCUCAAAAUAAAAAUGGAUGCAAUUCUCGUGAGCACUAAAGUUUCUGUUUUUGACAGCAUGAUCAGCAAGACUUUCCCCAAGUCUUCCCAAAGGUUCUACUUGGCACAAACAGUAACUAAAAGCAUAAAACCACAUCUAAUCAGAGUCUAGAUGGAUUAUUUAUUAUUAAACAGGAACAAGAAGCAAGGAACAAAAAUAAAAUUGGGUUGCCUCCCAACAAGCGCUAUCGUUUAAUGGCCCUAGCUAGACAUGAUGAUUUCAAUGAUGCUCACAUAAAAGAUAAGAAUUGAAACAUAAAGAGAGCAUCAUGAAGAAUAUGACUAGCACAUUUAAGCCUAACAUACUUCCUAUGAAUAGGGAUUUUGUGAGCAAACAACUUAUGGGAACAAUAAUCAACUUGCAUAGGAAGGUAAAACAAGCAUAACUUCAAAACUUUAAGCACAUAGAGAGGAAACUUGAUAUUAUUACAAUUCCUACAAGCAUAUGUUCCUCCCACAUAAUAAUUUUCAGUAGCAUCAUGAAUGAAUUCAACAAUAUAACCAGCACCUAAAGCAUUCUUUUCAUGAUCUACAAGCAUAGAAAUUUUAUUACUCUCCACACAAGCAAAAUUCUUCUCAUGAAUAAUGGGAGUAUCAUAGGAAACUCGAAUACUAUAAAUUGUUUCCAUGUUAAAAGAGUAAGGUUCAGAGAAGGGGUAAUCAUAAUCAUGACAAGUUUUAUAAAUAUAAUCACUACUUUUUAUAGCAUAAGUAUCAUCACAAUAAUCAUCAUAAGUAGGGGGCAUGCCAUCAUCAUUAUAAACUUGCAUAUCAAAACUUGGGAGACUAAAAAUAUCAUCUUCAUUAAUCAUAGCUUCCCCAAGCUUGGGACAAACAUUAAUUGCAGAAAAUAUAUUCUCAAAUAUGUCAUCCUCAUCAAACAUAGCUUCCCCAAGCUUGGGCCUUUUCAUAUCAUAAGCAUAAUCACUCUCAUCAUUAAUAGUAUAGAUAGCACCGAUAGUAUAGCAAUUAUUAUAUUCUUCCAAGCAAGUGCCAAAAAGAUUUUCAAGAUCAUAAGAAGUAUCAUUAUCUUCCCAAUCAUAAUCAUCACAACAAGCAAUAGGCAUAAUGAGAUCAUCAUCAAGUGUAUCAUCUUCAUUUUCAUGAGGCACAACAAUAAUAGGAGCAACUUUAUUUGGGAGAGAUACCUUUUUACCUCUCUUCCUUUUUCUUUUCUUCUUCUUCACCACAUCAUGUGUGGGUUCAAUCCUCUUUUUGGAGCUCCUCAUUAAUGAGAUUGGUUGAAUAGGAGGCUCCUCCUCGUUACCUGAUUCAUCAUAAGAAAUAAUAGGAGGGUAUAGGGAGGCCUCUUCCCUUUCAUUAGUAUUCUCUUCGUCUUCUAUUUCUUUUCUUUUCUUUAUGUAGUUGGCAAUAUAAGGAUUUUCAAUACAAUUCACCGCACAAUACAUAUAAAUUUCCUUUAGAUCAAAACCAAGAAGUUUAUAACGGGAAAAUUCCGGAAGAUAGUUAGUUAUACAUUUCAUUUCUUCAUAGCCCAUAAGCAAACUAAGUUCAUUAUAGUGUGCAAGGGAAAUCAAGUCAUCACAAUUUUUGGACACGGUUAGAUCAUGAAACAAUUUGCAUCGGAUAACUAAAUGACCACUUUCAUUGCAAAGUCCACAAGUACGGCCAAGAAAAUUUAAAUUUUCAGCACAAUCAUCUAGCCUUUCUUGCAACAAUUUAGUUUCUAAGUACUUAUGCUUCAUGCACUAUCUAUCUUCCCUAUUUGGUGUGUACUUACAAACCCAAUGCACUCCACAAAAAUUGACAUGUUUAUAGGAGACAUUUUCAUCAUAACUAGUGCAAUCAUCAUUAGUGUCAUGGAUAUUCAAAGAAUUCGUACUAACAACAUUGCAAUCAUGCGCAUCAUUCACAUAUUUUAUGCCAAGCAUUCUAUGUAAUUCUUCUUCUAGCAUUUGGGCACAAUUUUCCUUUCCAUCAUACUUAUGAAAAAUAUUAAAAAGGUGAAGCGUAUGAGACAAACUCAAUUCCAUUUUUUAUAGUUUUCUUUUAUAAACUAAACUAGUGAUAAAACAAGAAACUAAAAGACUUGAUUGCAAGAUCUAAAGAUAUACCUUCAAGCGCUAACCUCCCCGGCAACGGCGCCAGAAAAGAGCUUGAUGUCUACUACACAACCUUCUUCUUGUAGACGUUGUUGGGCCUCCAAGUGCAGAGGUUUGUAGGACAGUAGCAAAUUUCCCUCAAGUGGAUGACCUAAGGUUUAUCAAUCCGUAGGAGGCAUAGGAUGAAGAUGGUCUCUCUCAAGCAACCCUACAACCAAAUAACAAAGAGUCUCUUGUGUCCCCAACACACCCAAUACAAUGGUAAAUUGUAUAGGUGCACUAGUUCGGCAAAGAGAUGGUGAUACAAGUGGUAUAUGGAUAAUAGAUAAAGGUAUUUGUAAUCUGAAAAUAUAAAAACAGCAAGGUAACUAAUGAUAAAAGUGAGCGUAAACGGUAUUGCAAUGCUAGGAAACAAGGCCUAGGGUUCAUACUUUCACUAGUGUAAGUUCCCUCAACAAUACUAACAUAAUUGGAUCACAUAACUAUCCCUCAACAUGCAACAAAGAGUCACUCCAAAGUCACUAAUAUCGGAGAACGAACGAAGAGAUUAUGGUAGGGUACGAAACCACCUCAAAGUUAUUCUUUCCAAUCAAUUCGUUGGGCUAUUCCUAUAAUUGUCACAAACAGCCCUAGAGUUCGUACUAGAAUAACACCUUAAGACACAAAUCAACCAAAACCCUAAUGUCACCUAGAUACUCCAAUGUCACCUCAAAUAUCCGUGGGUAUGAUUAUACGAUAUGCGUCACACAAUCUCAGAUUCUAUUCAACCAACACAAAGGACCUCAAAGAGUGCCCCAAAGUUUCUACCAGAGAAUCACGACGAAAACGUGUGCCAACCCCUAUGCAUAGGUUCAUGGGCGGAACCCGCAAGUUGGUCACUAAAACAUACAACAAGUGGCACGUGGUAUCCCAUUGUCACCACAGAUAUCCACGGCAAGACAUACAUCAAGUGUUCUCAAAUCUUUAAAGACUCAAUCCGAUAAGAUUACUUCAAAGGGGAAACUCAAUUCAUUACAAGAGAGAAGAGGGGGAGGAGAAACAUAAGAUCCAACUACAAUAGCAAAGCUCGCGAUACAUCAAGAUCGUGCCAAAUCAAGAACACGAGAGAGAGAGAGAGAGAGAUCAAACACAUAGCUACUGGUACAUACCCUCAGCCCCGAGGGAGAACUACUCCCUCCUUGUCAUGGAGAUCACCGUGAUGAUGAAGAUGGCCACCAAGGAGGAUUUCCCCCUCCGGCAGGGUGCCUCCGGUUAAUAGGUUAGUCCCGAAAGUAAUAUAAAAGUGGAUAAUAAAGCCCAAUAAUGCCCAAAACAGUAGAUAAUAUAGCAUGGAGCAAUCAAAAAUUAUAGAUACGUUGGAGACGUAUCACCAUGCGGAAGGUCGCCGCUGGUGGUCGCCGUGUAGAUCUUCCCACCGUCGAUAAUCACAAAGCUACCUGUGAGGGAGUGGUGGCAUAGACAGGGGAGAGUGGGCGGUGAGAGAGGGAUGAGGAGAUUUAUGGGGCGGUUUUGAGAAACUAUGCACCCUCCCCCUCUCGUCCCCGCGUGUGCAGCCACGUGGCCUCCUUGCGCUCGCUCGUGCCUGACUCGCUAGAAACGGUUGAUUCGGCCAUUACUCCAAAGCCGGGCUCUAGGCUGCUUUGAGUAGUGUGCUAUGCAAGCCUAACCGCACACGCAUCUAACCAAACGACCAAAAUUACCUUCCCAGAUUGCUAGAGAUGAUGUGGGCAACCAAACACGCCCAAGGUAGCAUGUCUGGCGUCCAUGUAGUAGUAUAUGAUGUGAUGGUUUCUCAGAAACCCCGGGGAUGGAAUGGAUGGAGGGCAUGUCAAAUACUCCCUCCAUUUCUUUAUGUAAGGUGUAUUAUUUUUGGCACGGUGACCAAGACACAUAAUUAUAGACAUGUUAGGACCAAAUUACCCUUGGCAAAUUUGUUGGUUAGUGGCAAGUAAAUCAGUUACUCCGGGAAAGUAAGACAUACAUGCAAUCAACAAAGAGGAUACAGACAAUUAGGAGAGAGAUACUUUCCUUUUUUUCUGGAGGGCUAACAAGAAAAUUAUGAGGAAUUAGAAGAAAUGCAUCUUACAUUCUGGAACUUUAUCAAAAAACAAAUACACCUUAUUGAGAAACAAUAUAACGGAACGAGCUACGAGCAUCCACGGCGCUUGCCAUCACUAACUGUCCGAUCAGGUCGAUCUUGGAUGUCCUGAUGUUUCUCUUGGGCCGCUGCUCGGUGGAGCUAUCUAGGCCGGCUGUGAUUGUUUGGGCCACCUGUGCUUAUUGGGCUGGCGGUUGCGUGCGUUUAACCCAACUAAUGAAGUUUGAAACAUGAUUCUAGCCCAAAAGUUUGAAACAUAUCAAUCCCCUAGCACAAGUCUAUGAAGGGUUUCGUAGUAAUUUCAAAAAUUUUCCUACGUGCACACAGGAUCAUGUGAUGCAUAGCAACGAGGGGGAGAGUAUUGUCUACGUACCCUACGCAGACCGACUGCGGAAGCGAUGACACGACGUAGAGGAAGUAGUCGUACGUCUUCACGAUCCAACCGAUCAAGCACCGAAACUACGGCACCUCCGAGUUCGAGCACACGUUCAGCUCGAUGACGAUCCCCGGACUCCGAUCCAGCAAAGUGUCGGGGAAGAGUUCCGUCAGCACGACGGCGUGGUGACGAUCUUGAUGAACUACAGCAGCAGGGCUUCGCCUAAACUCCGCUACAGUAUUAUCGAGGAAUAUGGUGGCAGGGGGCACCGCACACGGCUAAGGAAUCGAUCACGUGGAUCAACUUGUGUCAACUUGUGUGUUUAGAGGUGCCCCUGCCUCCGUAUAUAAAGGAGGAGAGGAGGGGAGGCUGGCCGGCCAAAGGGGGGAGGCGCAGGAGAGUCCUACUCCCUCUGGGAGUAGGAUUCCCCCUCCAAUCCUAGUCCAACUAGGAUUCCUCGGAGGGGAAAAGAGGAGGAGGGGGCCGGCCACCUCUCCUAGUCCUAAUAGGACUAGGGGAAGGGGGUGGCGCGCAGCCCAUCUAGGGCAGCCCCUUCUCUUUUCCACUAAGGCCCACUAUGGCCCAAAAAGCUCCCGGGGGGUUCCGGUAACCCUCUCGGUAUUCCGGUAAAAUCCCGAUUUCACCCGGAACACUUCCGAUAUCCAAAUAUAGGCUUCCAAUAUAUCAAUCUUUACGUCUCGACUAUUUCGAGACUCCUCGUCAUGUCCGUGAUCACAUCCGGGACUCCGAACAACCUUCGGUACAUCAAAAUGCAUAAACUCAUAAUAUAACUGUCAUCGUAACCUUAAGCGUGUGGACCCUACGGGUUCGAGAACAAUGUAGACAUGACCGAGACACGUCUCCGGUCAAUAACCAAUAGCGGGACCUGGAUGCCCAUAUUGGCUCCUACAUAUUCUACGAAGAUCUUUAUCGGUCAGACCGCAUAACAACAUACGUUGUUCCCUUUGUCAUCGGUAUGUUACUUGCCCGAGAUUCGAUCGUCGGUAUCCAAUACCUAGUUCAAUCUCGUUACCGGCAAGUCUCUUUACUCGUUCCGUAAUACAUCAUCUCACAACUAACAUAUUAGUUGUAAUGCUUGCAAGGCUUAUGUGAUGUGUAUUACCGAGAGGGCCCAGAGAUACCUCUCCGACAAUCGGAGUGACAAAUCCUAAUCUCGAAACACGCCAACCCAACAUCGACCAUUGGAGACACCUGUAGUACUCCUUUAUAAUCACCCAGUUACGUUGUGACGUUUGGUAGUACCCAAAGUGUUCCUCCGGUAAACGGGAGUUGCAUAAUCUCAUAGUCAUAGGAACAUGUAUAAGUCAUGAAGAAAGCAAUAGCAACAUACUAAACGAUCGGGUGCUAAGCUAAUGGAAUGGGUCAUGUCAAUCAGAUCAUUCUACUAAUGAUGUGACCUCGUUAAUCAAAUAACAACUCAUUGUUCAUGGUUAGGAAACAUAACCAUCUUUGAUUAACGAGCUAGCCAAGUAGAGGCAUACUAGUGACACUCUGUUUGUCUAUGUAUUCACACAUGUAUUAUGUUUCCGGUAAAUACAAUUCUAGCAUGAAUAAUAAACAUUUAUCAUGAUUAUAAGGAAAUAAAUAAUAACUUUAUUAUUGCCUCUAGGGCAUAUUUCCUUCAGUCUCCCACUUGCACUAGAGUCAAUAAUCUAGAUUACACUGUAAUGAAUCUAACACCCAUGGAGCUUUGGUGCUGAUCUUGUUUUGCUCGUGGAAGAGGCUUAGUCAACGGGUCUGCAACAUUCAGAUCCGUAUGUAUCUUGCAAAUCUCUAUGUCUCCCACCUGGACUAGAUCCCGGAUGGAGUUGAAGCGUCUCUUGAUGUGUUUGGUCCUUUUGUGAAAUCUGGAUUCCUUUGCCAAGGCAAUUGCACCAGUAUUGUCACAAAAGAUUUUCAUUGGACCCGAUGCACUAGGUAUGACACCUAGAUCGGAUAUGAACUCCUUCAUCCAGACUCCUUCAUUUGCUGCUUCCGAAGCAGCUAUGUAUUCCGCUUCACAUGUAGAUCCCGCUACGACGCUUUGUUUAGAACUGCACUAACUAACAGCUCCACCGUUUAAUGUAAACACGUAUCCGGUUUGCGAUUUAGAAUCGUCCGGAUCAGUGUCAAAGCUUGCAUCAACGUAACCUUUUACGAUGAGCUCUUUGUCACUUCCAUAUACGAGAAACAUAUCCUUAGUCCUUUUCAGGUAUUUCAGGAUGUUCUUGACCGCUGUCCAGUGAUCCAUUCCUGGAUUACUUUGGUACCUCCCUGCUAAACUUAUAGCAAGGCACACAUCAGGUCUGGUACACAGCAUUGCAUACAUGAUAGAGCCUAUGGCUGAUGCAUAGGGAACAUCUUUCAUAUUCUCUUUAUCUUCUGCAGUGGUCGGGCAUUGAGUCUUACUCAAUUUCACACCUUGUAACACAGGCAAGAACCCUUUCUUCGCUUGAUCCAUUUUGAACUUCUUCAAAAUUUUGUCAAGGUAUGUGCUUUGUGAAAGUCCAAUUAAGCGUCUUGAUCUAUCUCUAUAGAUCUUAAUGCCUAAUAUGUAAGCAGCUUCACCGAGGUCUUUCAUUGAAAAACUUUUAUUCAAGUAUCCCUUUAUGCUAUCCAGAAAUUCUAUAUCAUUUCCAAUCAGUAAUAUGUCAUCCACAUAUAAUAUCAGAAAUGCUACAGAGCUCCCACUCACUUUCUUGUAAAUACAGACUUCUCCGAAAGUCUGUAUAAAACCAAAUGCUUUGAUCACACUAUCAAAACUUUUAUUCCAACUCCGAGAGGCUUGCACCAGUCCAUAAAUGGAUCGCUGGAGCUUGCACACUUUGUUAGCUCCCUUUGGAUCGACAAAACCUUCUGGUUGCAUCAUAUACAACUCUUCUUCCAGAAAUCCAUUCAGGAAUGCAGUUUUGACAUCCAUUUGCCAAAUUUCAUAAUCAUAAAAUGCGGCAAUUGCUAACAUGAUUCGGACGGACUUAAGCAUCGCUACGGGUGAGAAGGUCUCAUCAUAGUCAAUUCCUUGAACUUGCCGAAAACCUUUUGCGACAAGUCGAGCUUUGUAGACAGUAACAUUACCAUCAGCGUCAGUCUUCUUCUUAAAAAUCCAUUUAUUCUCAAUUGCUUGCCGAUCAUCGGGCAAGUCAACCAAAGUCCAUACUUUGUUCUCAUACAUGGAUCCCAUCUCAGAUUUCAUGGCUUCAAGCCACUUUACGGAAUCUGGGCUCACCAUCGCUUCUUCAUAGUUCGUAGGUUCAUCAUGAUCUAGUAGCAUGACCUCCAGAACAGGAUUACCGUACCACUCUGGUGCGGAUCUUACUCUGGUUGAUCUACGCGGUUCAGUAGUAUCUUGAUCUGAAGUUUCAUGAUCAUUAUCAUUGGCUUCCUCACUAACUGGUGUAGGUGUCACUGAAACAGUUUUCUGUGAUGAACUACUUUCCAGUAAGGGAGCAGGUACAGUUACCUCGUCAAGUUCUACUUUCCUCCCACUCACUUCUUUCGAGAGAAACUCCUUCUCUAGAAAUGAUCCAUCCUUAGCAACGAAUGUUUUGCCUUCGGAUCUGUGAUAGAAGGUGUACCCAACAGUUUCCUUUGGGUAUCCUAUGAAGACACAUUUCUCCGAUUUGGGUUCGAGCUUAUCAGGUUGAAGCUUUUUCACAUAAGCAUCGCAGCCCCAAACUUUAAGAAACGACAACUUUGGUUUCUUGCCAAACCACAGUUCAUAAGGCGUCGUCUCAACGGAUUUUGAUGGUGCCCUAUUUAACGUGAAUGCGGCCGUCUCUAAAGCAUAUCCCCAAAAUGAUAGCGGUAAAUCAGUAAGAGACAUCAUAGAUCGCACCAUAUCUAGUAAAGUACGAUUACGACGUUCGGACACACCAUUACGCUGUGGUGUUCCGGGUGGCGUGAGUUGCGAAACUAUUCCACAGUUUUUCAAAUGUACACCAAACUCGUAACUCAAAUAUUCUCCUCCACGAUCAGAUCGUAGAAAUUUUAUUUUCUUGUUACGAUGUUUUUCAACUUCACUCUGAAAUUCUUUGAACUUUUCAAAUGUUUCAGACUUAUGCUUCAUUAAGUAGAUAUAUCCAUAUCUGCUCAAAUCAUCUGUGAAGGUGAGAAAAUAACGAUAUCCGCCUCGAGCCUCAAUAUUCAUCGGACCACAUACAUCGGUAUGUAUGAUUUCCAACAAAUCUGUUGCUCUCUCCAUAGUACCGGAGAACGGUGUUUUAGUCAUCUUGCCCAUGAGGCACGGUUCGCAAGUACCAAGUGAUUCAUAAUCAAGUGGUUCCAAAAGUCCAUCAGUAUGGAGUUUCUUCAUGCGCUUUAUACCGAUAUGACCUAAACGACAGUGCCACAAAUAAGUUGCACUUUCAUUAUCAACUCUGCAUCUUUUGGUUUCAACAUUAUGAAUAUGUGUAUUACUACUAUCGAGAUUUAAUAAGAAUAGACCACUCUUCAAGGGUGCAUGACCAUAAAAGAUAUUACACAUAUAAAUAGAACAACCAUUAUUCUCAGAUUUAAAUGAAUAACCGUCUCGCAUUAAACAAGAUCCAGAUAUAAUGUUCAUGCUCAACGCUGGCACCAAAUAACAAUUACUUAGGUCUAAUAUUAAUCCCAAAGGUAGAUGUAGAGGUAGCGUGCCGAUUGCGAUCACAUCGACUUUGGAACCGUUUCCCACGCGCAUCGUCACCUCGUCCUUAGCCAAUCUUCGCUUAAUCCGUAGCCCCUGUUUCGAGUUGCAAAUAUUAGCAACAGAACCAGUAUCGAAUACCCAGGUGCUACUGCGAGCAUUAGUAAGGUACACAUCAAUAACAUGUAUAUCACAUAUACCUUUGUUCACCUUGCCAUCCUUCUUAUCCGCCAAAUACUUGGGGCAGUUCCGCUUCCAGUGACCAGUCUGCUUGCAGUAGAAGCACUCAGUUUCAGGCUUAGGUCCAGACUUGGGUUUCUUCUCUUGAGCAGCAACUUGCUUGCCGUUCUUCUUGAAGUUCCCCUUUUUCUUCCCUUUGCCCUUUUUCUUGAAACUAGUGGUCUUGUUAACCAUCAACACUUGAUGCUCCUUCUUGAUUUCUACCUCCGCAGCUUUCAGCAUUGCGAAGAGCUCGGGAAUAGUCUUGUUCAUCCCUUGCAUAUUAUAGUUCAUCACGAAGCUCUUGUAGCUUGGUGGUAGUGAUUGGAGAAUUCUAUCAAUGACGCAAUCAUCCGGAAGAUUAACUCCCAAUUGAAUCAAGUGAUUAUUAUACCCAGACAUUUUGAGUAUAUGCUCACUGACAGAACUGUUCUCCUCCAUUUUGCAGCUAUAGAACUUAUUGGAGACUUCAUAUCUCUCAAUUCGGGCAUUUGCUUGAAAUAUUAACUUCAACUCCUGGAACAUCUCAUAUGCUCCAUGACGUUCAAAACGUCGUUGAAGUCCCGAUUCUAAGCCGUAAAGCAUUGCACACUGAACUAUCGAGUAGUCAUCAGCUUUGCUCUGCCAGACGUUCAUAACAUCUGGCGUUGCUCCAGCAGCAGGCCUGGCACCCAGCGGUGCUUCCAGGACGUAAUUCUUCUGUGCAGCAAUGAGGAUAAUCCUCAAGUUACGGACCCAGUCCGUGUAAUUGCUACCAUCAUCUUUCAACUUUGCUUUCUCAAGGAACGCAUUAAAAUUCAACGGAACAACAGCACGAGCCAUCUAUCUACAAUCAACAUAAACAAGCAAGAUACUAUCAGGUACUAAGUUCAUGAUAAAUUUAAGUUCAAUUAAUCAUAUUACUUAAGAACUCCCACUUAGAUAGACAUCCCUCUAAUCCUCUAAGUGAUUACGUGAUCCAAAUCAACUAAACCAUAACCGAUCAUCACGUGAGAUGGAGUAGUUUUCAAUGGUGAACAUCGUUAUGUUGAUCAUAUCUACUAUAUGAUUCACGCUCGACCUUUCGGUCUCCGUGUUCCAAGGCCAUAUCUGCAUAUGCUAGGCUCGUCAAGUUUAACCUGAGUAUUCUGCGUGCGCAACUGUUUUGCACCCGUUGUAUUUGAACGUAGAGCCUAUCACACCCGAUCAUCACGUGGUGUCUCAGCACGAAGAACUUUCGCAACGGUGCAUACUCAGGGAGAACACUUCUUGAUAAUUUAGUGAGAGAUCAUCUUAUAAUGCUACCGUCAAUCAAAGCAAGAUAAGAUGCAUAAAAAGAUAAACAUCACAUGCAAUCAAUAUAAGUGAUAUGAUAUGGCCAUCAUCAUCUUGUGCUUGUGAUCUCCAUCUCCGAAGCACCGUCAUGAUCACCAUCGUCACCGGCGCGACACCUUGAUCUCCAUCGUAGCAUCGUUUUCGUCUCGCCAAUCUUAUGCUUCCACGACUAUCACUACCGUUUAGUAAUAAAGUAAAGCAUUACAUCGCGAUUGCAUUGCAUACAAUAAAGCGACAACCAUAUGGCUCCUGCCAGUUGCCGAUAACUUGGUUACAAAACAUGAUCAUCUCAUACAAUAAAAUUCAGCAUCAUGCCUUGACCAUAUCACAUCACAACAUGCCCUGCAAAAACAAGUUAGACGUCCUCUACUUUGUUGUUGCAUGUUUUACGUGGCUGCUACGGGCUUAAGUAAGAACCAAUCUCACCUACGCAUCAAAACCACAACGAUAGUUUGUCAAAUAGACUCCGUUUUAA